GUUCUGAACGAGAAAUUCUGAGGCAAUCGUUAUAGAAUCAGCAAUUUGAGUCGUGUGGUGAGCAUCUUGUGACUUAGAAUGGCAUGUAACCAAAGCCAGGCAGAUAUUUUAUUCUCUACUAUGGUGCAGGAGAGGAUUUUGGCUGGCCACUGAAUACUUGUAUUAACAUUCUCAAAUUUAACCAUUGUUUUUUAUGUUGUAACAUGAGGAUUUUAUUCUAUAUUGUAACAUCUAUGUUUUUAUAUGAUUGCUGGAUGAGAUCCUUUUUGUUCCUAUGAUGAUGUUUGUAGCAGAUAUCGACAUGUGUACUUGCUAGUUGCUGCUAAUAGACUUAAAAAAAAAACUGUGAUCUUGAUGAAGGGAUAUUGAACAAUCCAUUGUAAAAACAAAGCAACAAGCAGCAACAUCUAAGUAGAGUGAAGUUUUAACUUUGGGUCCGUUUAGCAUGGGGAAAAACAUGAUUUGGUGCAUCUUGGACGCAUGUAAAAUACUGGGAAUCUUUACUUUGAUCCGGUCAAAAGAUUCCAUCUACAAUAGAUAUGGCUACAUAGUAUUUCUCCCAUUUAAGAUUUAUUUUUAUUUUUAAAAGCAAAAUACAGUUGUAUCCAAGUGGUAUUUGUUUUGUCUUUUCUUUUGCUUAAAAUUUAAACAAAAAAACUCGCAAAAUCUCAUUAUAUUUUUUUAGAAAGGAUAUUUCGGAUUCUUUUGGUUUUUUUUUUUGAAACAAUCCUAAUACCUUUAUGAUUGAAUUUAAUAUUUGAAAAAUAUUUGCCAGAUUCUUUAUAAAGUAAAUUACUUCUAUUAUUGGAUAUAUUUGAAUAUUUUUUAACACAAUCUUCUCACAAUAUUGUCUUUCAAAAUAUGGCAAGACGUUUGUAAAAUAAAUAUAUAUAUAUACAGGGUAAGACAAUUGAGUAGUGGCAAGACAAAACAAGAUUUUUCGUUUUGAAAAAAUAGAAGAUGUCAGGGAAGAGACCUCAUCGUUCAACAAAAGAAACAACAAACACAUCAAAUGAUGGUGAACAAAGAUUUAAGGGUGGUAAAUUUGAAUUGAAAUUUAGUUUGAACGUGACUUCGCAUGAUUUAAGGGUUUGUUUUGUAUGUAAGAAAAACAUGGAUGAUAAAACCAUCUACAUGUACAGGUACAAGUUAAUUAUUGAAUUUUAUUUAGUUAGAAUUAUUAUUAUUUGAGUGAUUUAUUAGUUGAUUGCGAUCGUUAUUUGUUUCCACUUUUUUUUAACGACAAAUAUAUUAUUAUUGAAAAAAAAUUAUUGCUGAGCUUGAACCCGCGUUUUUCGGGUGAGAGCCGAAUAUCCUGACCAACUAGACUACAACGAUUUGUUCUUUCCAUUCCUUAUUCUUGUUAGUUUGAACAAAAUUUGAAUUCGCAAUAUCAUGCAUCUUAUUUUCCUCAAUUCCUUCUGGGCACCUUUUGAUUUAAUUAUUAUUAACUCUGUCACCCAAUUCUACUCAAUGUUUUUUAUUUAUUUUUAAUUUAGUGAUUACAUUAUAUAGUGAAUGUAGGGUAAAAGUUCAAUUCUUAUUUUACAAUGGUAUCCGUUCAAUUUACUUUAUUUUAUUUAUAAAUGCGAGUAAAUAUUAUGUUGUUGAUGUGAAAACAAAUGAACAACACAAGACGUAAUAAGUUAGUUUUGAAUUUUUGAUGCUUCACUUAUAAAGUAAAAUAUUUUUAAAUAAUUAGAAAUCCAAUUGAACUUUUCUUUUUAUUAGGGACCAAUUUUUAAGAUUAAUUUUGGUUUGUGGCGUUUCAUAAUUCAUUUGCUAAAAAUGUAAUAUUGUAAAAUAAUUAGAGCUCAGUUACACUUUUUUUGUUGUUGACAAAUACGCUUUACUCAAAAUAUUUAACACACCUUUUGUUGAAAUAUUUAUUUUAAUUUUUUGUUCGUUUCAGGAGCAAUGGUUUCUGCUCGGAGCGAUGUCGUACACUACAGAUGUACUACGAUGAUGAAGUAAUAAAGGAGUCUAUGGGAAAGAAGAGGACAAAUAUCUCAACCUCAUCGGAAUCUCAAAAAUAAUCAAAUAUGUUUUAUUUAUGAUACCUCAAUCUUUGCUUCGUCAACUUUAGUUUUGCAUUUUAUUUUAUUUUCUAUUUAAGGGAGGAAUACUAUUAUUAUUUAUUUAGGAAAAAGUAUUAGACUCUAUAUUUUUCAAUGGAGAUUUAAUUUCGGUCUUUUCUAAAAUAUUUGUUUAUUUAAUUUUUGCUUGUAUAACUAGAAAAAUAAUACUUACGCAUAUUUUUUUAUUUUUGCCUUAACUAAACAUUUGGUUCCUUACGUUUAUUUUAUGUUUCGAUUUGGCCCCUUACAUCUAAAAAAUAUCAAUUUAGUCUUUUACGUUUUCAUCGUUUGCAUUAGUUAGUACUUUCCGUCAGUUUUGUCACAUGUGGCAGACGGUUUGUAUAUGUGGACAGACAAUUUGUAUGUAUGAUCAGACACGUUGACACUUUGAUACUUUGACACAUGUAUAGUUCAAACGUUGUUAGUUGAAAAACUAACGAAAAGGAGUAACUAAUGCAAAUAGUAAAAACUUAAGAGACCAAACUUUUCAAUUAUACAAUUUUAUUUUGUACAAUUUUGACCUUGGACAGUUAGCCUUUUUUAUUUCGUAGAUUACCCUUGAACAAUUGUGUGUAGUUUAUCCAACCGACAUGAGUAAAUCUAGUUUUACUUAACUCUGACUGACUUUAACACUCUUCCUAAUGAAUAAGGGGUCCGUUUAGCCUGGGGGAAAACAUGAUUUUGUGCAUCUUGUACCCAUGUAAAAUACUGGGAAUCUUUACUUUGAUCCGGUCAAAAGAUUCCAUCUACAAUAGAUAUGGCUACAUAGUAUUUCUCCCAAAGGUAUAUUAUAUUUUCAGAAAAUUUAAUCUAGAAUUAUUGUUGUCAUGUUUUCGUAUCUGAUCCAGCUAUCUCUUGAACCACUCCCACUGUUGCAAGACCAAUACAUUUCUCGAUUAAUCCUUCAAACAGCAGAUUCUGAUUUCUAAACAUUACCAAUCCAAAAGUUAGAUUGUAAAAAUAAAAACGAAUUGGGGACUGAGGAAUUGUAUUUCACACUUACAAUUAGCAGAAUCAAAGAACUCACUUUAUAUAAUUACUGAAUCAACGAAUUGACGGAUCCUAAUUCAAGUAUUUUUUUACUAAAAAAAUGGAUUAAUCCUAAUUCAACUAUUUUUUUACUAAAAAAAGAAAGUAUUUUUUUACUUAAUAAUUAGUCGCUCCGGACACAAUUAUACGCAAAAAAACCACUUUUUAGGUUUAUUGAAAAAGUAAUGUAUCUAGUAAAUAAUAUAGACUGGAUACAUUAUUUUUUCAAUGAAUCUAAAAAGUGGUUUUUUGCUUAUAAUUGUGUCUGGAGGGAGUAAGUAAAAUUAUUUAAGUCAUUAAGUUCGCGCCAAUAAUCUAUGAAGCACGGACACGGCGAAACGACACGGAUACGACGACACAAAUACAGGAGGACAACAACACUGCUACAUAUUCAUAAAAGAUAUAAAUUUAAUCAAUAUAUAUAGUUAGGAUCCAUUGACACUAGGUGUCAAACUUUAUUUUGAACACCAAAUCUAAUCCAUCCAUUUAAGUUAAUCCAAAGGUCUUAAAUCAUUCACUUACUAAACUCACAUGAUAUCCUUUAUGUGAUUUGCUCCUUAAUUAAUUUGUUACCGAAAAAUCCGAUGACCAUAUCCCUUCCUUUGUUUUUUUCUUGAACAAUAUCUCUUAACGAUGCUUAUGAAUCUCUUGUUUUGAUCAUCAUCACAAGUCACAACUACCACAUAUCAAAUAUUGGAAUCUUGUACCAAUAAUAAUUCAUAUAGUCAUUUUUUUGGUUCGAUCGAUUGCUAGUUUUAUUUUUCAUUCCUUUGUGGAAGCAAUUUGGAAGAAUCCAGCUUUUUACCAGCUUCCUUGAUUUAAGAAAAAAAUAUCGAUCAUCAGCAAGGUGGAGCGAUGAAUUAUAUUGUUACCCUCUAGGAAGAUUAAAUGUGCAAAAGAAAGAUGGAUACAAAAAAUUAAAAUAAAUUAAUUCAUAAUUUUGAUGCAAAAUUUGUACUUUAUUGAAAUUUGUACCGUACACGAGAGAAGAGAGGUCACAUGUGAGAGCUGGAAGAAAUUCCAUGGGAAAGAUGGACAAAGUUAAAAAAACGAUUCAGACAAAUAUUGAACGAAAACUGAACACAGUGAAUUAGGGUUUUUUUUUUAUGAGGACAAUGAAUUAGGAAUUUUAUUGAGAAAAAACAGAUAAUUAGGAAUUAAUUCUCUAGAGAUACAAUCACAUGAUAUUUUAAGGGAAUUGAUCACAACCAUUGGAUUAAAAAAAAAGAGUGGAUUAGAUUUGGUAUCAAACUAAAUUUUAUUUGAUGUUUUCUCUCCCGAUUCCCCGUAUUUCUUUUAUAUCCCCUGAAUUUUUAAUUUCGCCCUUGAAAAAACUUCGGUUUAUAGAAANNNNNNNNNNNNNNNNNNNNNNNNNNNNNNNNNNNNNNNNNNNNNNNNNNNNNNNNNNNNNNNNNNNNNNNNNNNNNNNNNNNNNNNNNNNNNNNNNNNNNNNNNNNNNNNNNNNNNNNNNNNNNNNNNNNNNNNNNNNNNNNNNNNNNNNNNNNNNNNNNNNNNNNNNNNNNNNNNNNNNNNNNNNNNNNNNNNNNNNNNNNNNNNNNNNNNNNNNNNNNNNNNNNNNNNNNNNNNNNNNNNNNNNNNNNNNNNNNNNNNNNNNNNNNNNNNNNNNNNNNNNNNNNNNNNNNNNNNNNNNNNNNNNNNNNNNNNNNNNNNNNNNNNNNNNNNNNNNNNNNNNNNNNNNNNNNNNNNNNNNNNNNNNNNNNNNNNNNNNNNNNNNNNNNNNNNNNNNNNNNNNNNNNNNNNNNNNNNNNNNNNNNNNNNNNNNNNNNNNNNNNNNNNNNNNNNNNNNNNNNNNNNNNNNNNNNNNNNNNNNNNNNNNNNNNNNNNNNNNNNNNNNNNNNNNNNNNNNNNNNNNNNNNNNNNNNNNNNNNNNNNNNNNNNNNNNNNNNNNNNNNNNNNNNNNNNNNNNNNNNNNNNNNNNNNNNNNNNNNNGAGUGGAUUAGAUUUGGUAUCAAACUAAAUUUUAUUUGAUGUUUUCUCUCCCGAUUCCCCGUAUUUCUUUUAUAUCCCCUGAAUUUCCAAUUUCGCCCUUGAAAAAACUUCGGUUUAUAGAAACCGAAGUUUUUUUUUGUCUUGAAAACAAAUUUUGAUUUCUAAAAACCGAAAUUUACUCUGAAUUUGCAUUAGAAAAAAUUCGGUUUCUGAGAACCGAAUUUUUCUGCAAGGACAAAAUUAGAAUAUUGGGAUAUAAAAGAAUCACGGGGUCGGAAGAGAAAACAUCUUUUUAUUUUUAUAUUGACCCAAAAUUCAUUUUAAGGUCCAUGGUAUAUAUGGCCUUCUUAAGGUCCAGUCCACUUUCUUAAGGUUCAGUCCACUAAUCUGGUAACAAAAAAAAAAGAAAGAAAGAAUCAUGUAUGGUAGUUUUACAUGCACCUCUGUCCUUGCAAAUUUAUCCUAAAAGGUAGCAAGCAUUUAAUCUCAGCCAUCCAAAUAAAUUUAUAUUAUAUCCAUGGUAAUCAAAUGCAUUGGUCCAAACUUUUUGUUAUGGACUGACAAAAACCAAACUGAAAAAAAAUGUGACUUGCAAGGAGGGCUUUUAACACACACGAGUUUAGCGAGGUGAAAUAAAAUAAUAUAUUUUUGUCAUUAGGAAAAAAAAGAACUUUCUCAAUUCUCAACACGUGAUUCACUUUUUAUUUCAGGUUAUCUCAUGUACAGGAGUUUAUAAAAACUGGCGAAAUUUAACAUGCUUGAUUAACAAAGUUUAUAAGUAUUUGGUAAAUUGUCCAAGAGAGUUUAUAAAAAAAAAUUAUGAAUUGUGGUUGUAAGUUGUUUUCAACUUAUUUAUUUCUAACAAGUUCUUUAAGAUAGUUUUAUAAAAAAAACAAGAGGUAAAGACCUAAGAGAAGUAUAAAAUUGAUGUUUUUUAGAGAAGAGCCGUAAGUCUUCUAUUGCUUGGAAAUCUAUUUGUCAACCUAAGCGUAAUGGUGGUCUGAAUUUCAUUGAUCUUGAGGUUUGGAAUCGUGUUUCCUUACUGAAGCUGCUUUGGAACCUGUGUGGCAAAUCAAAUAGCCUUUGGGAGAAAUGAGUCCAUAUGCGUACUACAUUAAAAACCAACACAUCAUGGAGGCUUGUAUUUCGGAGUCUGCCUCCUGGAUAAUGAAGGUUGUUAUGCAGCAACGAGUGUGUAUCCACCAGAAUCAGGUGUGGAAAGAGAUGAUGAAUGUCCAAAAGUUUAGUAUGAAGAAGAUGUACCUGACUAUUCAUGAGAGAUCUCAAAGUGUUGCUUGGAGAACCUUGUUAUAUGGAAACGUAGCCCGUCCUAGAGCUCUUGUAAACCUUUGGCUUGUUUGUAAUGAGAGGUUGGCUACUUGUGACAGAUUACAUAAAUAUGGCUUAAUUGACACAACCCAUUAUUGCUUCUGCAAUGCUAAUGAAACGCAGCAACACCUUCUCUUUAAUUGCAAUGAAACAAGGAGUAUUUGGAGAAAAGUUCUUGAGUGGAUUCAAUUUGAUCAUUAUCCUUUUGGCUGAUGUCAAGAAGUGAAGUGGAUUAUGCAGCAGACUAAAGGAAAAGGAGGUCGUGCUAAGAUCCUAAAAUUGGCUUUUACUGAAAGUGUUUAUGAGAUUUUAAGGUAUAGGAAUGAUGUCAGCUUUGAUAAUGCUAUCCAUAACAAGCAUACCGUAGAGAACAUAAUUGAUACUAUUGUUUAUAGAGAUUGGACUAAUAGGAACUUAAGAACACACCUAGCUAAACUCAUGAUGUAAAUAGGCUUUCUCUGGUUGUGUUUGUCGUUUUUUUGAUACUUUGGGUUGGAUCCUAGCGAUCGCCUUGUACCUAUGGUUUUUGAAUUAAUCAAAGUAUUUUUAGGUUCAAAAAAAAAGUUCUUUAAAACUCUUAGAGAGAGAUUGUUACCCAUUUGAGUUCCACAAGAUUCGAAAGAUUAAUCAUCACAGUUGUGCGCAGAAGAUAUCUCAUUUAUUCGAAAGAUUAGUCACCGACUUUACUUUUAUGUAUAGAUUUCAUCAACUUCUUUGGUGUUACUAGAUUGGAUGCUUCAUAUUUUUAUGUGUAGAUUUCAUCAACAAAUAAAAAUUAUUGUUCAAGUAAAAUUAUAAUUAAGGGUAAAAAAUCUAAAAUAUUAUUAAAAUUGAUCGGGACAAAUUUUGUGACUUGGUAGCAAUUAUUGUUAAUAUAUUGUUAUAAUCUUUUUAUUGUUUCUGUUUUUUCUAUAAAUAUUUUUUUACUAAACUUUAUAUAAUUUUUUAUUGCUCUUUUGUUUUACUUUAUUCCUGUCUUUAUACAUAUAUUUUUAAUAGAGUGAAAUUAUGAAAAAUAUAAAAUUUAGAAUAUUAUUAAAACUAAUAAUGACAAAUUAGUAAAAGUAGUAGUAAUCAAUUAUAAACUUUCUAUAAUCUUUUUAUUGUUUUUUUUUCUAUAAUUUUGUUAGAGUAAAGUUUUAAUGUGUCCACAAAUUGUGUUUAAUUAAAACAAAUUAAUAAAUAUUAUUUAUGAAUUUAUCGUAAUUGUUCAUCUCAAUAAAUAUUCCAAUACAUAUCUAAAUAAGAUGUGUACCGAACCAUUCACAUUGUGCCGGUGUUUGCUUAUGCACUAAGCUUUUAGUUAAACUGUUUUCUCAAAGAGGACUUAUAAAUGAUAAACGCAGUUAAACAAAGUCUUAAAUAUUCGACUUACCUACCUACCCACUUUUGUCCGUGGCUACAAUAAAACCAACCAAAACAAAACCAAACCAGUGGUAUAGUAUAGUAUAUUAUACUACUCCUAGUACUGAAUCAGUCUCAUAUUUUUCGUAAUCUCCGACAUGAAAGGUGUUGGGUCAAUCCUCUUCUUGUUCUUCUUCUCAUGUUACAUAAUCGCUGUUUUCUCACAAGCAAUACCAAUAACCACUCAUCAACCUCAACCUAAUCAAUCUUUCAAGCCCAACCAAACCCAACAUCAGGUAUAUAUAUUUCUAUUUAUAGCCCUUUUACUUUUUAAUUACUCCACUUUUCAAAUUUUAAUUAACCAAAUACAGGAAUAUAAAGUUGAAAAUACCCUUCAAUUCUUAAAUACUAGAGUAAAACAUUGUACUAGUAUAUAUCUUAAUUUGGAUUAGUGCUUCCAAAUUAAGGUUUAAUUGCUAUGAUUAGUUUCUACUAUAGAAGCAUUUUCAGAUCUUGUUAUUGUAAAAUCUGAAAUUGAAUAUGCAUGUUGUUGUUGUUGCAGAGUGCUGUUGGUAGUAGCACUUGUUCUUACACAGUGGUCAUAAAGACAAGCUGCAAUUCUCCCGCAUAUACUGGAGAUCGUAUCAGUCUUUCAUUUGGUGAUGCUUAUGGCUAUCAGGUUCCAUUUUUCAACACAUACUAUCAAUAUUUUAUUUCUGCCAAAAUGAAAUUAACCAAGUUAAUCAAUUUACAUUAUUAGAAAUGUUUUGAUUUUAUUCUUAUUAGAAAUGUUACACUAUAGAAUAUAGACCAUAAGUCCUAGCUCACCUGAAAAAAGUCAAAAUUGUUUGGUUGGACACCUUCGGUCAGAUUUGAAUUCGGGACCUUGUGUGUGAGUUUAGUGGCGUUUGUCACUUUGUCUAUAAACAAAAAAAAAAAUGUUACUCCCCCCAAUUACUAUUAUAAGCAAAAAAAUCACUUUUUAAAUUCAUUGGAAAACUAGUGUAUUUUGCUUGUAAUAGUGACCAAAGGGGGAGUACACUAUAGUCCCGUACAAUGGCGAAGCCGGACCCUAGUUUAGAGGUUCAAGCUUUUGAGUUAUUGAGCUUUUUGUGUUAGCAGUGAGGGAAAAAAACUAGGGGUUCAAAAUGCAAAAUAUAUAGUUAUAUUUGCAUUUUAAGUUUAAGGGGGUUCAGUUGAAUCCCCAUAAAAAGGCUAGCUCCGUCCCUGAUCCUCUUCGUUCAAUUGAUAGUUACAAAGACAUUUGAUUUGUUGGGCACGGGUUCGAGCACGUGAUUCUUCAUUUCUCCACGCGUUCUCAACACUAAGAUACUAGGAUGCGACAAGGAAAAAAAAUGUUACACAAUAAAAAAUAUUUUGACUAAAUAUUACACUAUAAAAUUGGUAUUGAUUGAAUUUUGAUAUAGAAUAAAUUUUAAUGAAUAUGUUGGAUAAUGAAACAGGUUUAUGUUCCAAGAUUGGAUGAUCCAUAUUCAGGGACAUUUCAGGGUUGCUCUACAGACACAUUUGAUAUAUACGGACCAUGUACAUACCCAAUAUGCUACCUGUAUUUAUACAGAACAGGAUACGAUGGUUGGAAACCAGAGAGUGUGACAGUAUAUACCUAUAACUACCAACCUGCUACAUUUUACUACAACACUUUUAUCCCUAAUGGUAUUUGGUAUGGUUUUGAUUUUUGUCGUGGUUAUUUAUCAUCCACUACCACUUCUGCUGCACUCUAAUGGACCUUCUUAGUUUGUUGAUAAAUAAGGGAAGUACUUUUCCCACCCCCAUAUAUGUUAGGCUUAGUGGGCUUCUAUAAGCCCUUCCUGUGGGGGUUUUCUAUAUGUUUGUAGGCUCUACUGUCUGUAUUCCACAUUAAAUUAUGCCAUAUGAUAUUUUGAGAUACUUGGUUGAUUUUGUUCAUGUAUAAAGUCUUGGUAAUAGCAUUAGACUCGACUGGUUAAUGAUUUUUUUCUAUGAUGAAUCCUUCAAAAUGAUCCGAGUUUGCCAUAGGAGAAUCUAUAUUGUAUCCUACAAGUUUCCAACAAAGAUUAAUUACUGUCAAAAGGUAAUCAAUUAAUUUCUGUCAAACGGCAGUAAAAAUUUCGUAUUAUGUUGGAAGAGGUCAACCCCUUACAUGGAUCUUAGUGGCCUAGUGGGGGAUUAGGCUCUGCAGUUGCACGCGGAUGACACUCUUGGUUUAAAAAACAUAAAAAUUGUACUAUGUUUAAAAAAGUGAUAAAUUAUGAUUGGAUAUUCAUAAAGAUAUGAUUUCUAUUAUCAUCAAUCUUUUUAGAUUAUAAAUUACGGUUAGAUAUUCAUAAAGAUAUGAUUUUUUAAUGAAUAAAUGAUAUUAUAUUUUUUAUUCAUAUUUUCUUAUAAUAUGCAUCUUUUCUAUUAAUUAUUUUGUUUUCGACUGAAUCUCUUGUGAAAUUGAGAUUUGUCCUCUCUACAAAAUCUCAAUCUUUUUCCGUAAAAAAAAUCUCAAUCUUUUGUUUAUAUAUUUUGUAAAGAUUAAAAGUAGGAAUAUAUAUAACUAUAUAAGUAGUUGUGCGUGCAUUGAUUUUCUUCGGACACAAGCCACUUCACUCACCAAACCAAUGGCUGAUCAAGUUCAUCCAAACACCUUAUCAGUCUCAAGCAACUCACAAACGAUGUCGUCUGAGGAAUCCGCAUUGAACUCUCAAACAACGUCGUCUGAGGAAUCCACGACUUCCAACCCUUACAACCCUUUCCCAGCGCCAGGAACCUAUGUCAUCCAUGUUCCACAGGCCCAUAUCUAUCAGUGUCCAGAGAAUGGUCAAUGUUACACCAACUACACUCGUCAGAAAAGUCGCCAGAGCCAGUGUUGUUGUCUCAUCAGCGUCCUAUUCACUCUGGUUGUGCUCCUUGGCAUUUACGCCGGUGUUUUUUACCUGAUUUUCCGUCCAGAAUCACCUCAUUAUGCAAUUGAUCAUAUUGAUAUCAAGGGAAUGAACCUCACUUCAUCGUUGUCUACGAUUUCACCAGAGUUUAGCCUCACUAUUAAGAUUGAUAAUGGUAACGACAAAAUUGGAAUGUACUAUGAAAACGAUAUCAACGUUGAAAUAUUUUACAAAGACGUCAUGCUAAGUAACUGCGUGAUGCAGGCGUUUUAUCAACCGUCAAAUAAUAUGACAGUUUUUCAAACGGUGUUGAAGGGUAAUAAUGUGGACCUUAGGAGAUCCGAUCGAAGGGGGUUGGUGAAUGCCGUGACAAAGCGGAGCGUGCCGUUAAGUUUGAAGCUGAGAGCACCGGUGAAAAUCAAACUAGGAUACAUUAAGACGUGGAAGAUUAGAAUUAAGGCUGACUGUGAUGUGACCGUAGAUCGGUUAACGGGGCAUGUUAAGAUUGUUCACAAGCAUUGUAAUAACGGAUGGGAUCUUUGGUUAUAAAAUUCAAAAUCAUAAUCAUACUUUAAUUUGGAUUUAGGGAUAUAAUUAGUUAUGGGAUGUAGUUUUUAGUGUUUUAUCUGCGCAGAUACUAUUUGUGUUCUUUCUCUGCUAUGUUUGUUUUUAACAUAAUAUUUUUUUUAUUUUUAAUACUAUUUGUGUUUUUAUUUUUUCAUUGAAGAUAAUUAUUUUCAAGACGUCUGUUUUACCAUGCUACAAAGCUUUUUUUUUUUCUUAAUAGCAAAAAUGUAUAUAUAAUAAAAAAUAGAAUUGGUACUAGAGGUAUUUUUAUCCACCUCGGUAGGAAAAAUACAAGUAGUACUCAAAUCAAUCAUAAGCCAAACCAACUAACUUAUGGUAUUCUAAAAUACAAUAUCAAACUCAACAAAUAUUAUCGAACUAUACAAUCAAUUGAAUUAACACACCAUUGAUAAAAUAAGCAUGAAUCAGCAUGACCAACUAAACUUUUUUGACAGCAAUCACCAUGAAACUAAUUGAAUCUUAUAAAAUACUUCAUUUGCUUCUACCGCCUUUGCCGAAAAGAUUAUUUCUUUAUGUGUUCACCAGAGCACCCAAAUAACUGAAUGUCAAACUAAUUGCACACCCUUUGUUACUUUGCUUUCCUUUCCUAUACACAGUUAGGAAGCACGCCAACUGUGAUGACAUUGUUGCCGGCCGGCGUUACCAAACCACCGGUGAACCUUCGAAAGCAUAUCCCAAGCAAACGAGCAAGACACACACAAUUCGGCCUCCCCCUUUGGAUCAUGCUCCUAUGUGCAAAUUUUGCUCUCAUUGGGAGACGACCAAGUAAAGCUUACCAAGAAAACACAAUCAUGUUCGACGUUGCCCAACUCCUUCAUAUAUGUGUAAAUAAGAAUAUAUACAACAUCUUAUGUAUUAUGUUCCAAUUUUAAGUGCGCCAUAUUGCAUAUAGAUUAGUGAUAAAUGAAUAUUUUAAGAAAUUAACCUUAUUUGAUAAGAAAGUGAGGACAAUAACAAUUAGUCCGUACAAGUAAAAAUAUUUUCUUCAUAUAAAAGCCAACAAUUCUCAUUGCAUUGAAGUCAUGCAUCUUUCAUUCCCUUAUUAAGGGCCGACCAAAUUGAUCAUUUCCUUUCCAAUGUCUCUAUAAGAUAAUUAACGUGCUUUCAAAUCAAAGUUGAUCAAUCAACUUUUUCAGCUCAACUACGUUAACAAUCUUUUCAUCUAUUUACCAAAGUUUACCAUUGAGUAUAAUUUAAGAAGCAAAUUAAUUUAGAUAUACGUACAGAAAGAUAACGUAGAUAUGUAUAUUUUCCUCAUGUGCUUAACAAGGACUUAAAUUUCCAUAAGCCAUGUGUUUUUCCAACUAGCUUGUGUAGAGUUUAAUUUUCCACAACCCUUUAAUAUGUCUCUAUACGUACAUUAUGCUGACUAAGUUAGUAUCUUGUUGAAAAUAAACUUUAUAUGUAAGUUGUUUUUAUUUUAUCAAUAAAGAUAAGCCAAUUAUUUAACUUCUAAAAUAUGCUUCCUAAUAAUGCAAUGCUUCUAUCACCCUUAUAAAUAGAAGCUCAAUGUGAAAUAUGUUACAUAGUCUUUGAGGGUGUGAAAUAUUUGUCAUUGGAUUCAAAAGCACAACAAUGUUUCAUACAAUGGUUAGGAUCUCUCAUAGUAUCCAUUUUAUCAUUUUUCACAUUUUGGUUUUAAUGUCUAUAGCACUUACAUUUCUGAUCAAAUGUAUGUUUGAUGUACGAUUGAUUCAACACUGAUAAUGUGAUUAAAUUCAAUUAAUUGAUUUUCUUAAAUUAUUAUCAGUGUUUGCGUGUUAACGUCAAUGUUAUGUUGGGUGUUCAUAGAUUUUAAUCAAACAUUACUUUCAUUAUUAUGUUUGCAAACUUGCAAUUAUUAUUUUAAUCAAGAGUACUUACUAUAAAAUGUUAAUUUCAUGCAGGAGUGUUUUUUCAAAUUUUUAGUGAUUAUGAGUAUGCUUAAACUCGGAUUGAGUAUCACAACAACUUUCAAUGUGUUGCAUUAUGGAGCAGUUGGAGAUGGAAAAACCAAUGAUUCCCCUGUAAAUUAAUUAUUCUCUAACCAUUUUAGCUGCCUAAAAAUACUUUGCUGCAUGUGUAACACUAAUCUGAAUAAUUUAAUGUUCAGAGUUUCAUAUUUCCUCCGAUCUAAUAUAUAAGCAAAUUUGUUAUUCACAUUCAUUGAAUAAUUAAUGUAUUUUGUCUAUAAUAUAAACCAGAUACAAGAAGGGUUCCGGAGAGUAUUCGAGAGGAGCGACCACACAUCAAAAUUUUAGGACACCAGUUUUUUUUACUUAAUGUGUGUAUAUGUGCGUGCAUGCACUCGUGUGUGCAUCCGUGUGUGUGAAAAUAGACUUGACUCUUAUGAUCUUGACAAUAAAAUCAAUUUGAAGAAUGAAAAGUUAUCGGAGAGAUUUUAACAAUUGAAAGUACAAUUUUUAACUUUUUUUUCACAUUAUAUAUUUAUAAUUAUAUGACUUAUAAAAAAACGAGGUACCAAAAUUAUAACUUGCCUAGGGCAUAUGCUAAUACUAUUUGUGUAAAUUGAUAUAUUUCAACAGGCCUUUCUAAAAGCAUGGAAAGAUGUGUGUCAGAGCAAGUCAAGCACAUCUCAUUUGAUCAUACCAGCAGCCAAGACAUUUUUAUUGAGGCCAAUAACAUUUAGUGGUCCAUGUAAAUCUAAUUAUAUUUACAUUGAGGUACUUCUUUUUAAUAUUUUUGCAAUGCAGAACCUUAUCAUAAGUGAAGUUUUGGAACAAUUGGUCGGUGGCUUAAAACUUAUAAGCAUAGUAAACAUUAACUUGAGUAAUGUUUCAACUUUCAACCAAAAUUCCUUAUAAAAGAAUUCAGCCAAAAUGCAUUGAAAAUAUGGAUACUUAUUUGAUAAAAUUGAUGUGUUAUUAUUUUAAACCAUAUUAUUAGUGUGAAGUAUCUAUUGAUUUUACUGAUUACUAAUCUCAAUUGAAAAAUCUGACUGACCCAACUUUAACGGGGUCUACUCUUUCAACCAUAUUUUUUUCUCAUCAUGAGACUCAAACUAAAAACCUGUGAUGUGUUACUUUGUACUAAAUUUAGUUUUUUUUAAGUAUACAUUGUAAAAAAUAUAUAUAUAUAAUUUGUCACAAAAAAAUAAGCGAUAUUAACAAAUAUAGUGUGACAUAAACGAUAGAUGUUUGAAACUUUAACUAUUUGGUUUAGAUUCAAUAUCUAUUGGAUUUAUGACUUUGGUAUAUGAAAAAAAACACAGAAAUAAAAUGUCGAUUUUUAAAUAAAUUUCAAUUAUUUUGAAAGAUUAGUCUCCACAUUUAGAAAUAUCUUAGUUUUAAAUGAAAUAAAAAAUUAUAUCAAUUUUUUAGUUUCUAAUUUUUACUUUUCACUACAAAAGUCAAAAGCUCAGUUUUAGAUAAGUCAAAUUCAUUAAAAGUAUGGAGUAUAGUAUUACUUUACAAUGAAAUCUUAAAAUAAAUAAAUAAAUAAAAAAAUCCACAAAGUAGAACAGCCUCUAUUUAGUUGACUAGUACUAUUUUAUUAAUUUGAGAUAUAUUUGAAGUAACAUAUUUAGUAGUGUACUUUUGUGAACUCAGCUUUCAGGAAACAUUGUUGCACCUCAAACAAAAUCAGAAUAUUCAGGAUCACAUUUAAACACAUGGAUUGGCUUCUCAUUUAUCAAUGGUUUAAUUAUCAAUGGAAAAGGAACAAUUGAUGGUAGAGGUUCUAUGUGGUGGAAACAACCUUGCAUAGGAAAUCCAUCACCUGUAUGUAAAUAUCUAUAUCAUUUUUUUUGUCUUCAAUUAAUAAUGUUACUUAAAAUCUUAAAUAAUAUAAUGGCCUCAUUUUUAUGAAUUUUUUUUCCUUUUCAGGGGACAACUUGCCGUCCACCAACAGUAAGUAUUUGCUGAUUGAUCCUUGCAAACUUAAAUUUUAGCUACAUGGUUUCUUGAUGCAUAUGCAUAACAAUAAUAAAAAAAAUAAAAAUAAAAAAUCAAUUAAUUGGUUUUUGAAAUGUUUAUAAAAGAAGAAGUCAAGUAGACAUGAGUUCUUGAAAUUAAGAUUCCCUGCUAGCACCAAAUGCACGCAUUCGUGCCGCUAGCAAAUUAGCAACUGUUAUGUCGAGAUCGAAUGGUCCAGAUUUUAAGCUUAGUAUUUUAGAUUAAAAAAUAUCAAAACAACAUUGAACGUCACCAAUGUGCUGACUGCAUGAAUGUGUGUAAUCGAUGACCGCAAAGAAUCUAAAUUUAAAUUCUUGAUGCAUACAUAAAACACGGACAAGUGAACAACAUACACGUCUUCAAUCAGAAGUAUUGGUGUAACAUAUGUUCGAACCUAUUGCUAAUUAGCCAAAAUUGCUAAAGUGACAUUGUUAUCUAAAAACAGUCACAUAAAUGAAUGAACAUAAACACUAAAUAUAGUUGCAAAUUGAGAACAAACACCAUGAUACCAUAUGAAGGAAAAUUAAGUGAAUUAGUAUUAUUAAUUUUUGUGCAUACAUUACAGGCAAUAACAUUGAAUAGAUGCUAUCGGUUUCAAAUAAAAGGAUAUAAAAGUAUUAAUCCAGCAAGAAGCCAUUUAACUCUAACAAGCUGCAAAAAAGGAAUUAUUUCUAACAUUCGUCUAAUUGCUCCUGGAGAAAGUCCUAAUACUGAUGGCAUCGAUAUCUCUUCCUCAAGAGACAUUCAAGUACUUAACUCUUUCAUUGGAACAGGUACAUAAUUAAUUUACAAAAUUUCAAUUUAUAUUAUAUUUUAAUCAUUUUAGUAUAAUAUAUAUAUAUAUAUAUAUAUUGAUUGUGUCUAAAUAAAUUGUAGGUGAUGAUUGCAUUGCUAUUAGUGCUGGAUCAUCAGUAAUCAAAAUUACUGGUAUAACAUGUGGUCCAGGACAUGGUAUAAGGUUAGUAUAUAUAGAACUUUACUAAUUAUGUAAAUGAGUUUGGAAUUUUUAUUUUUAAUUAAAAUGUGCUAGUUUUGUNNNNNNNNNNNNNNNNNNNNNNNNNNNNNNNNNNNGUUACUUUACUUAAUGAUGAAAAUAUAUAUUAAUUUUGUAGCAUUGGAUCAUUGGGGGCACGUGGAGAGAGCGAUAUUGUAGAGGAUGUGCAUGUGAAAAAUUGUACAUUGACUGAAACAUUAACUGGAGUAAGGAUCAAGACAAAGCAGGUAAUUAAUUACUAAUUCACCAAAUAAUUAACAUUAUUGGUUAGAAACUCUUAGUAUUUUAAUUUUUUUUAAAGAGUUUAGCAGUGAAACUCACACACUAAUUAAGUGUCAAGAAACGGAGAAUUGUAUAUUCAAAUCUGCAUUUCAGCGUAUCAAAUAUUUCUGCAGUCUUUUAUCAUAUGAGUUAUAACAGAAUCUAUUAGUAUUUUUUUUAUUAUGGUUUUCCACUAGUAAUUUUGAUCAAAUGACAUGUAAAUUAUUGUAUUUUACAACAGGGUGGAGGUGGAUUUGCUAGGAGGAUCACAUUUGAAAAUAUUAGAUUUAUUAGAGCCCAUAAUCCUAUUAUGAUUGACCAAUUUUAUUGUGUUAAUCAGAUGGUCUGCAAAAACGAGGUAAAACAAGAGAAUGCACCAAUUGGAUUAUUUUUAAAUAUAUGUUAAACUCCCAAAAAUUAAAUUGUAUUUAUACAAGUUGCAUUGUAACAUUUUAUUUUAAUUCAAUGUUAUGUGUAGACUAAAGCAAUCAAGAUUAGUGAUGUAACUUAUAGAGGGAUUAGUGGAACAUCAUUGACAGACAAGGCAAUAAAUUUGAACUGUGACCAGAAUGUUGGGUGUUCCAACCUUGUGUUUGAUCGUGUUUAUGUAAGAUCUGCUGUUCCUAAGAUGAAGGUUUUCUCCUUCUGCCAUAAUGCUCAUGGAAGAGCAUCACACACCAAACCAAUUCUAAAUUGCUUGCUCAAGUAGUUUGAAGUUGACACGUGUCAAAUACCAGAUUGGUCGAAGGUGUCGGUGUUACAUAGCUCUUCCCUUUGAAUUGUUGAAGGAAAAAAAAAAGAAUAGAAGACUUCAAAAUCAAAUUGUUUUUAUUUUUUGUCCUCAAAUCUAGUUGAAUUUCUGUUUUCUUUUUUUAUUUCUUUUCGAAUCUUAGUUAGUUGCUGAUUAUUAGAUUUUAUGUGUGAUUAUUGAAUAAUAAUCCCCGUAUAAUUAUUGUGAGAUUAUUGAAUAAUAAUUUGUGUGAGAUUAUUAAUGUUUCUAUACUUUUGAGUUUUGAAAUUGUAUUGCAGUCUCGUAAAGUUCUCAAUUGUUGAAUGUAUAAAUGUGUUCGGAAGGUGAAAGUCGAAACUCAUUUAACUUGAGAACUUUAAUUAAGAAGUUUCAAAAGAUAUAUGACAUAUGAUCCAAACACUAUUGAGUUAAUUAAAUUCAUUAAGACUAUAAUAUCUUAAAUGAAUAAAGGUGAAAGUAUGAAUUGUUAAAUCAAUAACAUAUAUCAAUCCAUGUGAUAUUUUUUUUACACAAUUUGUGAUCGUAAUACAAUAUUAUAUGGAAAAUGUUAAACAGUACUCCCGAAAUACUAGUUAAACAUAUUAAUAAGAAAAUUUUAUUAAUUAAUAUUAAUGAUAUAAAAUGGGAGUAAUCCAUAAGCUAAUAGGUUUGUUGAUUACUUUAGGUAUGUAAGCUCUACUAUAUUUGACAAUGUAAUAAAUUAUUAUAAAAGGGGCUAUAGAAAACAAAACAAAAAAGUGAAAAAAUACAAAUUAUUAUAUAAGGGAGAAAAUGAAUUACCUAAUUUAACUGAUAUCCAACCCAAAGAAGGGAGGAUUCGUUCAUUCCUCCAUUCCUAUGCAUUGGCAAUUGGCAACAAAACAACCUAUUUCUGUUUAUGUGUCUUUUGUCUGUGCAUGUUUGUUACAAUCAUCAUAACCUCCCAUGGGGAAAAAGCCGUUCUCCUCCGACAUUGAGGCGGCUCGUUAUCCCCCGCCACCACCGCCUUCUUUCUACAUGCAACAGCCAAGGCAAUGGUUCUCAUGGUUGGUGCCACUCAUUUUUAUAGCCAAUAUUGCUAUGUUUGUGUAUAGUAUGUAUGUCAAUGAUUGUCCUGCCUAUUUGAAUGAAGAUGUUUGCCUUUUCUAUGAAUAUUUGGGAAGAUACUCUUUUCAACCUUUCAAUGAAAACCCUCUCCUCGGCCCUUCCGUCCGCACGUGAGAAUCUUUCUCUCCCUCUCAAUUCCUCUCUACAUAAUCAUCAUCAUCAUCAUCAUCAUCAUCAUUUUAACAAUCACACAUACAUAGUAUUUUAACCCGUGCAACGCAUGAGGAAAUAAUUAUGAUUCAAUAUACAUAACCGUUGUAAUUUGAUAGCUCUUACAUUUAAGAUUAUAUCGAAUGCAUAUCCUGAAUUACUUGUAGGGUAAGCAACAUAAGACAUAAAACGAAAAUGCUUACAAUACAUGCAUGCAUUAGAAAGGAAAAGAAGAAAUGAAAGAAAAGCAAAAAUGUUAAUUAGUUUCAUCUUCUGCAGGUUGAGGCUAUUAGGAGCACUUGAAAAGGAUCUUGUGGUGGGUGAAAAUGAAGCAUGGAGGUUCUUUACUUGCAUGUUUCUUCAUGCAGGAGUUAUACAUGUACUUGCCAAUAUGUUUAGUCUUUUAUUCAUAGGAGUUCGCCUUGAGAACGAAUUUGGAUUUCGUAAGCAUAUAUAAAUGAAUUUCAAUAUUAUUUUUUCAAGCUGAAACUCUUUUGUUAUCUGUUUUUUUAUGUAUAAUCUCUUUAACUUCGCAGACAAAAUUGGAAUAUUAUAUCUGCUUUCUGGUUUUGGUGGAAGUUUGUUAUCAAUUUUGCAUUUGAGAGAUGCAACAGUACCAAAUACCAUAUCAGUUGGCGCAUCAGGUGCACUUUUCGGACUUUUGGGAGCCAUGCUUUCCGAGCUUCUAACCAAUUGGACUAUCUAUUUAAAUAAGGUACUAUAUAAUGAUAUAGUAGCAUUUUUCUGUUUUGAAAGAAGAAGAAAGAAACCAUGAGGAGAGAGAUUUGAAACCGUGUUUUCUUCUGCAGUGUGCAGCUCUUACAAGUCUUCUGCUCAUUAUUGGCCUAAAUUUGGCUGUUGGAUUUCUGCCUCAUGUGGACAAUUCAGCUCAUAUAGGAGGAUUCCUUGCAGGGUUUUUCCUUGGUUUUGUUAUUUUAAUCCGCCCGCAAUAUGGUUAUGUGAACAAAAAAUAUGUACCGCCAGGACAUGAUUCAAAACGAAAAUCCAAGUAUAAAGGCUAUCAGUAUUUCUUCCUGAUCUUGUCAGUCAUUGUGUUACUUUGCGGGUAAGUAAUUCAUAAUUUUCUGAGUUAAAUUUGGAUACAGUGUUAAUGUAAAAAGUUUUAUACCGUCAAAUAAAUCACAACUAUUCAUACGUGUAACUUUAGAAGUAGUAACAGUUAAUGAUUUGACGAUUAUAAUUGAUUGACGACAGUGUAAAAAAUAUUUACAAUGACAGUGUAUAUGAAUUAAAUAGUUUCAUCUACUUUAACUUUUGAUGUAAUUGCUCAUUUGACAGAUAUGCAUAUGGCUUAACUACACUUUACAUAGGAAAUCCAGAUGAAGAGAUACUUUCCUUCUUAAGGAAAAUAACCCAGUUGAGUGAUUCAGGCUGAUCUUCAAGUUUUCAUGUACAAUCCAAAAUUGCAGUUUUCAUGUUAUAAAGGACCCUCCAAUUCUUUUGAUCAAUACAUGCACAUGAUCGUGAAUGCUUCUCUGAAUACUGGUUUGUACACUAUAUCCAGAAGAUGGUAUCAUCAACUAUACAUGUAUCUAUUUGGCUGUUUAUAUGGAUAUAGGAAAUUCCUAGUCUUUUGGUUCAAAAAAUGUUAUGUAGAUCCAUCAGCAAAGAAUAUUAUAUUUAUUCAUUUUUCGGUAGAAUGAAUAGUUCAUCUACUAGGGACAAGAGUUGAGGCUUUGGUUACAUUUAUUUAUUUGUCAAUGCAGAAAUAUAGAAAUUUAUUGGCAUGUUUUCUUGUGUAGCUACACAGCUGGUAAAUUUACUGCACUAGUUCGACACUUUUAUAUUUCGUGUAAGUUCUUACAAGUUGGCGACAUAUAGGAUUUGGGUCAUGUUUGAAAAAACAACUUAAUUAAACGCUUAUUAAAUAAAGUCAAAAUGUGUUUAUAUAAUCUAUAGAUAAUGAUGUAUAAGAUAUAAGAUAUUAUUACAAAAUGAUGUUCUAACCUUUCAUCGAGUUAAAGCUUAUAUCUUCUAUGCUUUACAGUACAUAUACAUGGAGACUUCAACUCAAAGAUUUGCAUAACUUGAACUCUCAAGCUUAACACGUUAUUGUUGUUACAGUAUUCAUUCCGAGAUGAUGCUAGAUUUCACAUGAUUCGGAGCGACCAAAAACCGUGUAACGAUUAUUUGCAACAUUAUCGUAAACAAAAUCCCUGACAAACCUGCAAUAAUCCGUUGCAUAUAUCAUCAACCUUGUUUCUCUUUAGCAAUGAAAUAACAUGAUAAAAUUGGUAAAGAACCUAUAAAAUAUACUAGUACUCACAGAGGCAUGAACUGAAGAAGAAACGCUAUCUGAGGAAAGGGCAAGUCUAUGUAUUCCAUUAUCUUCAGCACAGCUUCUGACUUUAUGUAUGAUCUAUAGAAUAUAUCACCAAGUCAUACAUUUCAGUACUAACUCUUCAUUUUAAUAACUUGCAAUCAUAAACUUCUACUUUCCUCGCAAAUAUAUUAUGCGUCUAUUUGAAUUGACUUAUUUGAACUUAUCUACUGACAGACAUAAGCACUUGUGAGUUAUGAUUGAAUAGACAUACCUGUUAUUUUCAACAAGUACAACACUUGAGAUAUCAUCAGGAGCUCUUCCUGAUCUUCUAAGUAACAUCUUACCAGCUUCACUCUGAAGAGCUUCAUAUCUAAUUGUCCUGUCAAAACCCAUCCCAAGUAACGAUAUACAUUAACUAUCUACUAAACAUAAGUAACUGUAUAUUUAAAUUGCGUCAACCAUCUAAAUUGUUAUCGAAAUUAUGUGUCAAAAUAACACAACUUAUAAAACAAACCAAGUAAGCAGCUCUGUAGCACCGACACCUCUGAUCAAAGGUGUGUCAGGUGUGAUUACAUUUAAUUAAUUCAUCUUUUCCAAAUUAUUACAUGUAUCGACAUGUUACUGUGUGAGUGUGUGGUGUCCGUGUUUCAUAGGUAAGCCUAACUAAUCAAGUUCUUUAUGUCACUACUAACUAAUUACUACAAUUAACACAAAAUAACUAAUAAGACCUAUUUACCUUUCACUCUAUCACUCUAAUGUAUUUAAAUUUUAAUAGAUUAACUACUAUCUAUGAAGCAUGGACACUCCUUGGAUUAGGCGUGUCCUGUGUCGGACAUGUGUCGGUGUCGGGCACUGACACGAUGACACUUAUAAUUACACUUAUAAUUACAUUGAAUUGUGUCAUUUUCUCAAAUGAUUAUCAGUGUUGAUGUGUUAGUGUCUGUGCUUCAUAUACUGCUAUACACCGACAGUGUAAAAAAAUCUACACAUGAAUCCAAUCAAAUGACAUCAUAGUGAUUAGAAUGAAAAGGAGAUAGAAAAUUUACUUAUUUCGGUCAUUGUCACGAACAAACUUGACACCACCAUUACACAAAUUGCAUACCCCUGUAUAUGUCAAAAUCAACAGAAACAAAUUAAUCAAAAACUUGCAUCGUGGAGACAUUUGUUCUAUGGAAAAUUGGAAGAAAAAUAAAAGUUUUGAUUAUUUAUUUUACCGUCAAAUAACAUGAUGGGUCGUUUGUCUUGGUCGAAGAAGCUUGAAGUUGCUUCCACCCAGUUAACGGCGUCGUUUCGGGGUUGUGAUAGAGUAGCAAAAGUCUUGACUUUUCGAGCACGCGGUGAGCAUGUGACUGAGUUCACGCGCCCAAUACAAGCAGGAAGAUGAAGCUGAAGAGCCAUUGAAGUGUUGUUACCUUCGAGUAACUCAAUGAAAUAUGUAACAGUUUUAAAUAUGAAUUGUUUUCUGUAAUUCAAUUUUAUUGGUGGCAAAGAAGCCAGCAAGGUUGGUUAUUUAUGGCAACCUUCGAUUUAUCGUGUUUAACUUUGAUUAGUGAUGAGAUUGUUUGGUCUCUUCAAGGUUUUGGAUUCUAACUCAUCGUUAGUCGGUUUAGUGGUGAUUAAGUUAAAUUUAAUAGGAAGAACCACAGUUCGAUUUCUCGCAAAUAUAAUCGAAGGAGACUGAAACUACUUGAUGUCAUAACUAACUCCCAAACCAAAUUAAACUUGUGAUAAAAAAAAAAGGAAAAAAUAGAGUCUUGGAUUCUAUCAUUUAUUUAGAGUAUGCAAUAGUAUUAAAAUUUUUAAGAGAAUUUGCCGUAGUAUAUUUAAAUCUCAUAAGGCUUCAAGGAUUACUUCGUUGCAAUGCAUCUCAAACUCCACUCAAUUGAGAGAUAAAUUUUGCCCAAUUGAAGGUUCAAAGCUAAGCCCAUACACCAUUGCAAGAACCAACUCUCAUGUACACAAGAGUCUCUAAUUAGAGUAAUUCUUUUAUGGGUACAAGCCAAAUAAUAUUUGCAUAGUGGCUAGAAAUUAUCCCAUUAAAAACUUCAGUCACUAUAUAUAUAAUGCAAUGUCAUGUCAAUUGAGCUAAGUUCACGGGUCGUAGAAUUAACCAUUUUAAAUACAAAUUAAUGGAAUUAAGUGAUGUUAUUCAAUUUAAAAGGAUGAAAAUGUUAAUUCUUAAAAAAAAAUUAAAAUAAAAUUAAGCAACCAUUAUUAUAAUUUCAAUGAUUAAAUAGUUCAUUUAUUGUCCUCAUAACAUAAUUAAAUUGGUAGAGACAUUACGUAUAAUAUAGAUAUUGGGAUUCGAACUCCGGUAGUUUCAUUUGUUCACGUAAUAUUUUUUUGACACAUAAAAAUUUUGUCUUAAAAAACCAGUUCAAAGAACAAUGUAUAAAUGAUGAUACUUCAAUCACACUUAAUUACUCUUAAAAAUUAUUUUUUAGUCCAUAAAAAAAUUAUUCCUUCAGAAGUCUUCCAUCAAAAUAUAUCAUUAUUUUUAGUAUAAGGUAUCACAUUUUCUUUUUGUCAAAAGUAUUCACUUCAUUUGAGUAUUUAAUUUAAUCAAUAGUAUUUGGCAAAGAUAUUCCUUUUCUUUAGUAAAGUACCAUAGGUUGGUAACAGUGAUAGUGACACCAUAAACCGAAUCUAUAUCCAAUGACAAAUUAGAUAUUGGAAAAAUUUGUCACACUGACGCUCUUAACAUAAUUAUAUCCAAUAGGAAAACAGAGCUAUUGAGAAAUACUAAUAAAGAAACAACGUAAAAAAAAAAAACAAAUCUUCUUAAAAAUAUUAAGAAACAAAUUAGAAAUUUUUUCAUUUGUUAGGUAAGAAAAUAAAUCUUAUUUUCUAUCUCAACUAAUAAAAAUGUUAAAAGAUAUGGGACGGGUAGCUCAACUGAUUAAGCUUUGGAGGUACAAGAUUCAAGUUUUGUGAUAAUAUUCUAAAUUUGUAAUAUACAAACAAUUUGCUUAUAAAAAAAAUGUUAAAAUUAUUAGGUUUGAAAUUAUAAUAGAAUUUCAAGUUUUCUUUUUUAUCGGUAUAAUUAGAGCUGUCAAAGGGGCCGGCCCGGUCCGGCCUGAAGGGGCCCGGUCAAAUAAAGGGUCCGCCCCAGUCCGGCCCGCUUAGUCCGACCCGAUAAGCAAAAGCCUACAUGACCUGAUGGGCCGACCCACUAAUUUUCAUAGUUUUUUUUUUUGAAAAAAAAAACAAUAUAUAUUAAAUUUAUGUUAUAUUUCUNNNNNNNNNNNNNNNNNNNNNNNAAAAAAAAAAGAAUAUAAAAUAAAUACAAUAAAAAGAUGAUAGAGUUAAAAUAAUCAUAUUCCAAGUUUUAUAUCCUUCGUUGUAAUUGCACAAAAAUAAAUUAAAAAUAAAAAUAAAAAGAUGAUAUGCUUAAAAAUAAGAAUAAAACAGAUUAUAGAUAGGAACAAAACACAAAUAUUCAAUAAAACAACAAAAAUAAUUAAAAAAAUUAUAUAUGAAUUUAUGCAUAAAAAUAGGACCAAAAUAUAACAAUAAAAGAUUAUACAUUUUUUUUAAAUAAUUUUUUUAAUUCUUCAAGGGGCCGGCCCAAAAGCCUGUGGGCCGGCCCAUGAAAAAGCCUGACUCGAUAAGGCCCGACCCCCCUUUUUAUGAAGUCCGGCCCGUGUAAAAUGAUAGGGCUAANNNNNNNNNNNNNNNNNNNNNNNNNNNNNNNNNNNNNNNNNNNNNNNNNNNNNNNNNNNNNNNNNGCUAAUGGACCAGUCCGAUAGCCCGGCAUUUUUUACAGUUCUAGGUAUAAUAGAAUUUCAAGUUAUUCACUUGCAUGGAUGACUUUGUAAUGACUAUUAUCAUUUUUUCUAUUUAUUCAAGGAAAAAAUAAGAAAAUAAUAAUCUUGCUAAAAAAAAACAGUAAUAAUGGAAAAUCUUGUACCAAAAAAAAUAUAGAUAAUGGAAAAUCUGAGUCAAAAAAAUAAAUAAUGGGAAAUCUUGUAAUAAUGAAUUCCUUAAAAAAAAUAUACUAAUAAUAAUGAAAUAAAAAUUAAAAAACGUUUGUUUGUUGUAAAAAAUUGGCAUUUAUUUGGUGUUUGGCUCUCUCUAUUUGUUAACCGGCGAAAACCAAAACGCAAAGAGAAGAGUCACUCACUCAACAAAACUGGUAGAACAACAACAACUUGGUGGUGUUAGCAUAAACAAGAAGAAGCAACAACACUCUCUCAGAAUCACAAGAAACAAAGCAAUGGGUUUCGUCGGUGACACCGUCGAUUCUAUCAAAUCUCUUCAGAUCCGUCAGGUCCUCACUCAGGGUGUUAGUCUUGGUCAGUUCCUUUCUAUCUCAAUUCAAUCAAUUUCAACAAACAAAAAACUCUCUUUACGUUAUCUAAGUUCAAUUUCGGAGCUACAUUCAUCUGGGUCGACGUUGAAACCGUUAAAUUUUUAAGCUUUAGAUGUAAAUUCUUCAAUUUUAAAUUUUUUGUAUCUUUAGGGUUUAUGUCAAGAAUUUGUAUUAUAAUCAGUUUUAAUGAUAUGGGGUAUAGUUUUUUUUCAAUUUUUUGAUGUGGGGUUUUGUAACACUCAUAUGUUAUAGAUAAAAGAUUUUUUUUUUCUUGUUCUGGUUUAUGGGUUUAGUAAUAAAUUGCAUUAUGCUGGUAGUAGUGCUUCAAUGUUUUUCUUGAUUGGUUUUUUCUUAGUAUAUGCAAUGAUGAUUUUGCUACAAGUAGUGUCAACAUCUUGGAUUUCUGGUCUAUUGUGUAAAUUGUAUUUAGUGAGGUGUUCUGUGUUUUGCUUCAGGCAUGAUUGUUACGUCUGCACUGAUAAUAUGGAAGGCAUUGAUGUGCAUCACUGGCAGUGAAUCUCCUGUUGUUGUUGUUCUUUCUGGAAGUAUGGAACCGGGAUUCAAGCGGGUAAGCCAAUCUUAUGCAUGGAAGUCUCGGUAUUUCUGUAUCUAAUAUUGUCCAGUGUCAUCAAGAAGAAAGAAGCUGCAUAUAAGUUUUCUGUUUCUUUCUGUUGCUAAUGAAUGUUGGCAUUUGCAGGGGGACAUCUUGUUCUUACACAUGAGUAAGGAUCCAAUUCGCACAGGGGAGAUUGUUGUAUUUAAUGUAGAUGUAAGUUCACCUCUCAUUUUUAUCCUCUAUGUUUUGCUUACUUCAAUUCAUAUCUAUAUAUCAGCAUUUUUUGAUUCAUUUUAUUUGACUUGAUACUUUCCUUACUGACAAAAUCUAUUGGCAUGCACCUUUUUUAUUUAGGGACGAGAGAUUCCGAUUGUUCAUCGUGUAAUUAAGGUAAGCUCAAUAUUUUGGUUGAAUAAAGUAUGUUCUUUCCAACAGUUGCAUCAUUACUGAAUGUGACUCUGAGAAGAAGUGCUUUGUAUCUUCUCAUGUGAGAGUCUCAGAUGAGAGGAUCCACACAUAGCUGUCUUCUGGCAGAAAAAUUUGGAAAAAGUGGUUCAUGAUGGUGGAUGGGUGAAUACAUUUCAUGAAUGUGUAGAGAUACCUAUUCAAACUGUAACUACAUAAGUUGCAUAACAGAUACCUCUGGUGUUGAUUGAACUACUUUCAUCAAUAUCCUGUCAUUGGCAAGUGACAACUUGUGGAAACGGGAGAGUAUCACGAAUAUUGAUAUAACAUGGCUUGAUCUUUUAUGUGUUGAAUGAUAAUUAAGUUUGUCCUGUUUGAGACUCUUAAUGCUUGAUCAUUUUAUAGGUACAUGAAAGAGGAGAUACUGGGGAGGUUGAUGUUCUCACAAAAGGUAGUUGCUAGUGCAGAAAUACUGACAAUACUGAUUUUAAGUUCUACAUUAUACAAAAUCCAAUCUUUUAAUAGUGAUUUUGAUUUUCAUUCUUUUCUCCAAUAUUAUAUUUCAUAAUUUUUGUUUAGUUUUCCAUUUUACAGUGUUUGUGUGUUAAUGUGAUGUAUUUCUGUCAUGUCUUUGGCAGGAGAUAACAAUUACGGUGAUGACAGGCUACUGUAUGCUCAUGGCCAGCUUUGGCUGCAAAGGCACCACAUUAUGGGUAGAGCUGUUGGGUAUGUAUAGCAUUUCUUCUAGACUUGAUUUCCAAACUUAUAUUGAAAAGGUCAUUCCUUCCUUGCUGUGACAACCUAUAUUGUUAAUUAAAAUAUAAAGAUUAAGGUUAUACGCUUUUAAGUCUCAAACUAUAAUAAGAAUGGGAUCUGUGACUGACAGUUAAGUUAUUAUACAUGAAUGACUAAUGCCUCUACAUGCCUAUUCAUGGAAUAUCAUACACUUGUUGGCCCUUCGAGCAUGAUAUAUACCAAGGGUUUAUCCUACAGUUUGCAUUCUGCGGUACUAUAUGCAUGUUCAGUUGAAAAUUAUUUUAUAAUAUGUUACCAUUGCUUGUAUUUUUCGAUGGCAGGUUCUUACCUUAUGUUGGUUGGGUGACAAUUAUCAUGACUGAAAAACCUAUCAUCAAGGUUUGUUUGCUUCACCGAUCAAUUUUAUUAUCAUUUAACUGAAUUGGUUGUUUUGUGUAUGUUUAUAGUGAAACAUGAUAAUCAUGAUGUUUUACUACGAGAUAAGUGGUGACCAUCAUGGUAGUUAAAAUCAGGAUUUUACCUAAAAUCGGAAAGGGGAAGUAAAAUCGUAAAUCGUACAAUCGUAACAUUAAUCGUAAGAUUAUACAAAAUUCAUAAAACUCAAAUAUAUGCAUAUAAAUUCAUAUAUGUGCAUAUAAAAUUGCAUAAGACAAAGAAAACCUUAAAUCACAUUUGAAUACUAUGUAAAUUUAAAUUUAUUAGCAUGAGAGUUUGAAGCCAUUUGGAAAUGAAACAGAAGAACGACAAGGGAGAAGUUUUUUUUGAGCCAAACGCAAGCAUGAUCGCUAAAUUGCUACAAGAUUUAUGUGUGUACGUAUAAUCGUUGAGGCCAAACAUAAUCGCAAAAUCGUAAGAUUUUACUAUUCAAAUCGGGAUUCCACCUGAUUCCACAAAAAUAAAAAUAGGAUUAUACGUGUAAUCAUAAUCGCUGAGGGCAAACAUAAUCGUAAAAUCGUAAGAUUUUAGGAUUAAAAUCGGGAUUUUAACUACCAUGGUGACCAUUUUAAAAGUGCAUAGCAUAGAUUUUGGGAUUUGACCCCUUAAAAGUGAGAGAUUCUCAUUAGUUGAAGUGAGGGGUCACAUCCCUUGAUGAGAAAAUCAAGGAAUUUGUUCAUAUGCAUGUAUUAUAUCACAGUCAUGUCUUUUGAUUUUUAAAUCAAUGGCUAUGAUUUUCCACUUUUCUGCAACUCUAUAUUAGAGCAACUAAAUCCUAUACUUUGAAUUGAAACUAGUAUGAAAUGUGCUAAACCUGUAUCUUCUUUGCAGUAUAUUCUCAUUGGCGCUUUGGGGUUGCUUGUGAUAACUUCAAAAGAGUAGCUGGUGAAUCCAAAUCAAACUACGGUCUGACCUCCAAGAGUACUAUGAGCAAAUGUCAUGCUUUUUUUUGAACUUGAAGGUGUCCUUGUGUACUAUUAACAGCAUAAUAUUAAGAAUUAAAUACAAAGUGAAUUUUAUAAUUUCUUAUGAUUGUUUGUUGGUUGAUUGAAAAUCCCCCUUAGUUUGAGUAUCUAUGUCUAUAUACUUGGUUCCACUUUAGGAGGAAGCAAAAUUGAUUCUAGAGGUUAGAACUGGUUUUGGUGUUUGAAUGUUUUUUAGUAGAAUCAAUUUUGCCUCUUAAAUGUAUUUUAACUUGAAGCUAGAAUAUGGUUUUGCCGCGCUAGUGGUUGUGGGUCAGAACUCAGAAUAAUGUCCUAUAUAUACACUUUAGUGACAAUUGAGAGUGAUCCUCACAACUCUUCUCCAUAUGGUGUUUGCAAUGCUCAUGACUAUAAAUGAAAACGAUGUCCUUGACAUGAAUAAUAGUCUAGUGCGAGUGAUUGAUCUCCCAACUCGCGUCCUUUGGGUUGAGAAUUGAGAUAUCUAAUUUCUAAAUCGUGUAUGGCAAUUUCUCUAGCCUGAUCGGCAUCUAAGGUGGGAACUGAUGCGCCUUUAUAAUCCAUACCACAUGAAUCUCAUCACACUCGUAACCACCAUUACACUCAUAUCUUCAUACUAAUCAAACAUCUUCGAUACACAUAAUCAGAUCACAAGACAUAAAACAUACUAGACACAGUUGAGAUAUUUACCUAUCCCAAUUAAAAGCAAUAAUAAUAAUUAGUACUUCAGCUGUUCAAAAAAUAAUUAAUACUUCAUAUUUACCUUACCAAUCAAUUGAAUCAUUAGAUUCAAUUGUGCAAGUGCAAGGGUGUCAACAUAAAACAUCUGUAAGUAAAAUUAAUUGAAAAAUCAUGAAAUGUUAUUAACUUUUGGAAUAAAAAGAAUAACUAUAACUAUUAUAAUGAAUUCCAAAAUCUCGACGAUCCACAUAAUACAAAAUUUGAUAAAAUCACAAUCCUCAAACAAAGUAGGAUUGAGAUGCCCUGGCUCUAUCAAACAAACCAAGACACAAUUUGUUAUUCUUCCAAACAAAAGGAAAGUAACUUGAAAAAUUAGCAGUAUAUAAUUUAAAAUGCUUCAAAGGUACAAACUAAUUUGAAAUGACAGUUAAAAUUGAGUUUCUCAUAUAGCAGCUUCCCUCUCCUAUCAGUAACUAACACAAAAUGAAACUACUGGACCAAUCUUUGUCUUUCGCCAGCAUCGUCGCAUUCCACCUGAAAAUAAUAAAAAUCAAGAUUAUGAUAUCAUGUUUAGAACUCCAUAUAACUUUCAAACAAUGAAGAAAAUUACUCCAAUAUGGAACUCAUUUAAAUUUUUUACACCAUACAGAACUCAAGCAGUUACAUCAGCAUUACUUUUUAAAAGUUACACUUAAAACUAACCACAACAUUACAACAGUGUGUUUGGCAUAUUUGUUUAUUACAACUUUUAGAAUGCAACUUUGGUAAGCAAACACAGAGCCAAAACUAUGUAAUAUUACGUCAAGCAAGGGAAAGGGAAGUCAAAAGGGAUUGACUUUGUGGUCAACAUACAAAAAUGGAGGCAUCAGCUCUAUUUUCAAACUGAGAAAAACAAAAUCUGUACUCUACCAAGUACCAACAUAUAUCUCGACAAUUCAGAGCAAUGAAAUUCCAGUUUGUAGCAUCAUUUAUUUCAAAUCAGUAACAGGAGCCUUCAAAUUAUAAUAGACUAUUGACAAUUGUAUAUAUAAGAAUAACAAUUAUGAUACACUAAAAUUCCCUAAAGAAGUGGUUGAGUUGUCGUACACAGAAGAAACGGAUUCACAGCUAGUUGUCGUACCCAAUAGCAUUUAAAAGAACAGAUAGUUUUUAUAGUUUAUACCAGGAAAAAAACAGUACUAAAUUACCUCAACGAGGACCCUCGUUUUCUUUGAUUUAGAAUCAAGGUCAUCCUUUUCAAGUUUCUUUGAAGCUAAAGUCGAUUUCCUUUUGGCUUUCCUUUGAUUAAGUGCUUUAGUUUCUUCAUCUUCACUGCUUCCGUCUGCAUUAGUAGAUGUCAUUAUUAUGUUAUUGCUUCUUAAAUGUUUGAAGUUUAAAAACAAAAAUCCAAAUUCACCAACAAAACAAGGUAAUGAUGAACGAGCAAAAUGAAAAAGAUGUCAAAUAACACACUUAACUAUCAUAAUAAUAUCAUGCAUAUAUUAUUCAGAAUACUUUGAAUCUUGGUUUCAGUUAUGCCAAAGCAAAUUACUUGAUGAGUGAAGAAAUAUUUCACUAAGCACUUUCAUUCAUAUAUUUUUUUAGCAUGAAAAAAAAUUAACCAUCCAUAUUGCAAAGCUUCUAAACUAAAUGUUACCAUUUUCAUCAUCGGUGUCAUUUCCCUGUGACUCGUGAAUUGAAAAUGCACCAAAAUCUUCAAUGUCAUCUUCCUCUUCAAGUUCAUCGUAGCCUUCUACAUAUUCUAUUUCUGCUUCCUGUUCAAUUUGAAAAGAAAAGAAGAAGAAAAAAUAAAUCAGAGUCAAUACAUUACCAAGUUAAGUAUCUAAGAAUUUUGAUUUAAACACAAUCCCACAACAGAGCAAAACGUAUUAUUAAAUAUGUACCUCUUCAUCCUCUUCAUCAGCAGGUUGAAGUUUCUCCAUAUCAAGAACUCUAUUGUACGCAUCAACAGGAUAGUUGUAUAUAUCACCUACUCCUUUUUGAAUGCGUUCCAGUAUCUCUACCUCGAUAAGCUAAGUAAUAUUCAAAAGCAACAAUGAGGAAAGCGAAGAUAACAUAUAAUUUAAUAUGCAUGAGUAACAUUAGGAUUAACUAUAACCUUUUCAGCCUCCUUCUGUUGUUGGUAAAGUCCAUUUUUAUGGCGUUCCACUAGCUCGUUCUCAAUAGCCUAAGUCAUAUUCAAAAGCAACAGUGAGGAAAGCGAAGACAACACAUAAUUUGAUAUGCAUGGAUAACAUUAGGAUUAACUAUAACCUUGUCAAUCACAGCCGCUCUUUCAGCCUUCGCUUCUCUUCUAGCUUCUCUCUUUAUCUCUUUCCUUGGAAGUGUUUUUAUUAUUUCCCUGUAAAACAACAAUAAACAUGAUAAAUCAGGCUGCUUUUGUGGAGAAACUGCUAUGAACUUACUUUCACCAAAGACAACCACCUAAAAUAUAGUAGAUCAAGGAGAUGAACUGUCACACAAAUGUAAAUUUAUAAUAAUAUUAGAUUAUUAGUGUAAAAAUUCGAGUACGCAAAAAAAUUGAUGAAUUUAAAAUAUCACAAGCAAUAUUACAGACACAUAAAUAGUAGGUAUACGGGUAGAAAAAAGGAUCAUAAUAUACAGAAUGUGAUAUCGUAAACAUCAUAUAUAAAAUCAAAUGCAAAAGUGAAAUCUUAACAAGAAGCAAGAGAGAAUUCAGUUUCAAACCUAUUUUUCAAAGCAAGUUUCCUCAUACGAAUCCGCGUCUGGGUCAUUUUGGUCAAUCGUUGUUUUACCUUGUGAACGAGAAGCUUGGGCCAAUACAUCUGUUAAUGCAGAAAGGUAAUGCAAGCAACCAAUCUCGACAAUUACGUGCAAGUAAAAUGUCAAACAUAUAAAUGUUGCAAAGACUACAUAAAUAAGCUGUACCAGAUGUUUGUCAAUGACUUCAAGUGCCUGCUCGUAAUUCCUAGGCAGCUUAACUCUUUCCCACAAAUCCUUUGGCAUAUGAGCUCUUUCAAUAGUCUUCAUGUAAAGGUAAAACACUCCUACAACACACAUUGCAAUUGUAUCAUUACUUGCAUUCUCUACCACAAAUUCUCCACCUAUUGCAUUUUCCAUUCACAAGGAUACAAAAUGGAUAAAUAAAGUGAAUGUCAAAGUCAAUAUCCAACAGGGCCUCAAUAUGUCAUUUUCUUCUCGUUAGUUCUCCAAAUAACCGAACUUUAACCUCGACUCAACCAAAGCAUGCAGUUCUUUUUAAAGACAAAUGUUAGUUGUUAGUAUAUGUAGUCAAACCUUGACCUCGCAAACCUUCUUCUCAAACUCCUUUGGAUGNNNNNNNNNNNNNNNNNNNNNNNNNNNNNNNNNNNNNNNNNNNNNNNNNNNNNNNNNNNNNNNNNUAUGUAGUCAAACCUUGACCUCGCAACCUUCUUCUCAAACUCCUUUGGAUGUCGGAGCUAAACUACUUGAGCUACGGGGCCUAAGCCCUGUAUAAUUACCAAAAAGAAUAAAUAAACUACUUGAGCUACGACAUGGAGACCAAAAGCAUGGAGUUUUCUUCUUAUGCCACAAACAUUUCAUAACUAUGUCUUAAUAUCUAGCUGAAAUCUAACACAGUAAAAAAGAUGUGAAAGCAGAAGUACCAUUGUCUUCACGGAUGGUGGCAUAGCGACUAUUAGCUAAAGGGCAGGAGCUUCGAUUACAAAUUCCAGUGACAUUGUAAGGGUUUCUACAAAAAUUGCCCGUCGUAAUUCUACAAACAAAAAAGAAGAAAAAAAAAGGUGUUAAAUCAUUUGAAACAACAACGAAAAUUGUAAUUGCUCUCAUAAAUUGCCAGACGUCUGUCAAAAUCCUCUCUCCUUCAAGCUAUGAAGCACGAACAAACACUCCUCAGUUUAGGUGUGUCCCUAUGUCGGACACGCAUCAUAUACCAACACAUAUGAUCACAUAAUAUUAUGUCAUUUUUUCAAAUUAUUAUUGAUAUUUGUGUCCGUGCUUCAUAGCCUUCAAGUAGCUCUAUUAGAGGUGUUGUUGUGUCACCUUUAAGUGACACCGUGGCUUGUCCAAGUUGAUGUCACACAUUGCACGGAACCCUAAACUUAAGUUUCAUAAUAAUUUAAGGUUUUAACCGCACCUGCGAUUCCAUGUGACGUGGACAAACCAUGGUGUCAUUUAACUGAUACAUCAUCACUCUAAACAAUUUGAGAGAUCAGAGAGCAAUUUGAUAUUUGGGGUCCCAAAUUGCUACACAAAAAUAUGAAAAAUGUGUUAAAAGGAAAGUGGAGUAUUUAUUUACUUGGUCAUGAAACUGCAAUGGUUGUGUCUGAUAACUUGCCAUAUAACCUCAUCAUGCUGCAUCUUUGGAAUAUAACUUUAAGGGCUCUUCUACUUCAACAAAUACAUUUUUUUGAAGAAAAGGUUAUUAACAGAACAAUGAGAUAUAUACAUUCAUUCAACAAAUACAUAGCAUGAAAAAUUCAACGGAAAAUUAAAUUCAACGAUUGAAAGGUUGAUCCAAUACCUAUGGAAGCUGCUAUCCUUGGCUUACGUUGGUAUUUUCGGUUGGUAGCUGUUUUCUGGGAACUAUGUCGUCCUUUUUCAGUGUGCAACCAUGUAGGUGUGGCUGAGGGCUGAUUGGGUUCACCGGUGCUGCGGCGACGGGAUGAAGUUUCGUUGAUUUGGGUUUAAGUAAUUUUUUUUUUUAGACAAGGGUUUAACUAAUUAUUUUUUUUAGGCAAGGGUUUAACUAAAAAAUAUGAUUUAUUUAAAAAAUUAAAUAAGUUUUGAGAAAAAAGAAUAUGCACAGGUUUAUUGGUCUAGUGGUAAGGGGUUUGGGUAAUAUGUUGUAGGUUUUGGGUUCGAUCUUUAGCCCAUUGUAAACAUAAAAAAAAAAUAUGCACAGUUUUGACAACCAAUACCUACCAUGUUUUCCGCCACAUCACCCUACUAAAUCUCACUUUCUUAAAAUGAUGUGGAAGAAUGUUUCAUUCUUAUUGGUUGUUAGUGUGAAAUUAAGAGGAGUGCUAGCAACACACUCUUUAACAAACACACUCUAACACACUCUCUUCUAUUGGUUAAAAUUUAUAUGAGUCUCAUAAAAGUUAUAUGGAUCCACAUUUUUUUAUGGGACCCAUGUGAAUUUCAACCAAUAAAAAAGAGUGUGUUGGAGUGUGUUUGUUAAAGAGUGUGUUGCUAGCAUUAUUCGUGAAAUUAAUUUACAUUGAUAAUGCGUACUCUUUAAACUCAUAAGUUUUUCAUCCUUCUAUCAUGAAAUUUACUCAUGUAUUUCUCACAUUUUUCGAUGACUUUCUGUAUUUAAACGGAUCAAGACUGUCUAGUUAGAUGAAGUCGUUAAUCAUUCACAAAAAGUUCAAUUUAUGAAGAACGUAAGAUUAUUUGAAGGUUUAAUAAAUCUCAAAUAAUAAGUUUCUACCCUGGAAGUUAAAUAAAUCAAGUCAACUAGAUGAAGCCUCAACAACUAGAAACAUCAACAAAGUUCAUGUGUGAAAUAGAAGUUGUUCCUCUUUUCGUUUUAAAAGGGUUUCGGUUCGUAUCGCAUCUUAAAUGUUAUAACCAAGACAUUUCAAUGAAUGAUAAAACUUUGCCAAUUAACAUCGAGAGUAUCUGAAGAUACACAAUGAAUGAUAAGAGAUGCUCGACUAUAAUUUUUGCCAUAACUUUGUAAGCAACAUUAUCCAAAGAAAUGACUCAAAUUUAUGUCAUUUUAGUCAAAUAAACACGCCCUUGUGAUCAAAGUAACGAUAAUCUCAUUACUAUGUUAGAUAUAUCUCAAAUUUCGGAACAACAAAGUAAGUACUAUAUGAUCAUGCAACUAAAUGUCACUAAAUAUUGAAGAAUAAAAGAUGCAAAUCAUCCUAUCAGGCUAUCCCAGUGGCUUAAAGUUUUGCAUGCUAAAAAGUGCUUUCCUAGUUUCUUCAAGGGUAAUUGGUUGGUUCAAGUUCAACGCCAAACAAACCAUUAAAAAAAAAUUGUCCAUUCGGUCUUCUAAGUUUAACUCAGCUGAUAGAAACAUCGUAUAUAUUAUGUAGGAGUUGGAGUUCGAACCGCGGACACUCCACUUAUUCACCUUUAAGGUGUAAUUUCAAGCCACUAGGCUGUUAGACAAAAAAACUGUCCCUUAUUUCAUUCCUUAACUAAAAAUUGUUUUAAUUUUUUCGCAGGGACUAAAGUAAGUUUUCAUUUACAGGCGCGUAUAAUUUUUUAUUUUUUUUUUAUUUACAAUGAACUGAGAAUCGAACUCAGAACAUAUAACAUACUAUCCAAACCCCUCACCACUAAACCAAAUCCAGUGGCUUAGAAAAAAAAUUAUUAAAAGAGAUUAAUCUCUCAAAUUGAUCUCAAUUGAAAAAUUAGUCUCCACAAAUUCCAGAAUACAUUAUUUAAAAAAAAAAAAAGCCUUUUCAAUCCUAAUUAAAUAAAUAAAGUGGUCUAAUAAAAUGCUGAAUAUCCAAAGUAUCAUUAUCAAUUUAUCAAUCCCCAAUUUCACUGGUUUAUUUUUUAUUAAAAAAAGUAUAUUAAAUUAAAUAUUCAUAUUCAUAUAUCUUCAUUCAUUUGGUUUACGGGUCAUACUUGUCAUUUAAUAAGUAAAACAAAAAGAAAUGAAAACCCAGCGAUGAGAAAAUGGGGGAAAAGAAAUCCGAGUUCAAUCAAACGGUGGCGCUUCUUCGUUCAUUCAUUCAUUCCCUAAACCCUAUUCCAAUCAAAUGCACUUCAACCACCGCAACCACCGUCACCACAACCACCACCACCGUCGUCGUCAUUGAGCAUGAUCCUCUCUCACUCUCUCCCUGAUCAUGCUACUGCCCUCUCUGCGAUCCACUCGCAGAUUCUGCAACAAAAACUUCUAUUCAUCUACCUCCGCCGCCGCCGCCGCCCUUAAACCCUCACAACCACCAAUUCUCCAAAUUCUCAAAUCCGAGCGGGACCCACACAAACUCUUCCAUCUCUUCAAAUCCAAUGCAACCAACCGUCUUCUCAUCGAAAACCGUUUUGCUUUCUACGACACCGUUUCACGACUCGCCGGUGCUAAACGAUUCGAUUACAUCGAACAAUUACUUGAACAACAGAAAACCUUACCUCAAUCGCGCCGCGAAGGUUUCGUUGUUCGGAUUAUUACAUUAUAUGGAAAAGCUGGUAUGAUUCAACACGCUCUUGAUACUUUUUAUCAAAUGCACAAUUUUAAAUGUGUUAGAACGGUUAAAUCUUUCAAUGCUGCUCUUAAUGUUUUGGUUCAGACGAGGAAUUUUGAUUCUGCUGUUCAGUUUAUUGACGAAGUUCCGGAAAAUUUUAACAUUAGGUUAGAUGUUUAUUCUGUUAACAUUGCUAUUAAGGCUUUUUGUGAACUUGAAAAGCUUCAAGAGGCUUAUUUGUUUAUGUUAGAUUGUGAGAAUAAUAAGGGUGUUAAGCCUGAUGUUGUUACUUACACGACUCUUAUGUCAGCGUUUUAUGAGCAUAAGAGAUGGGAGAUUGGUAAUGGAUUGUGGAACCGUAUGGUGUUGAAGGGUUGUAUGCCGAAUCUUCAUACUUUUAAUGUUCGGAUUCAGUUUUUGGUUACGGUUAGGCGAGCUUGGGAUGCCAAUGAUUUGAUGAGUUUGAUGCGGAGAAUUGGGGUUACGCCUGAUGAGAUUACGAUAGUUUUGGUUAUCAAGGGUUUUUUUCUGGCUGGUUUUCCUGAUAUGGCAGUGAUGAUUUUUUAUGGGUUGCGUAGGAAGGGUUAUAAGAUUAGUGCUAAUAUUUACCAGACAAUGAUUCAUUAUUUGUGUAGGAGAGAUGAUUUUGAUCAGGCAUACAUCAUGUGUAAAGAUAGUAUGCGAAAAAAUUGGUUUCCGAAUGUAGGUACCGUCUUUAUGCUACUGGAAGGCCUAAAGAGAUUUGGGAAGAUUGAUAAAGCGAAGGUGAUUGUUGCGUUGGCCGAGAGGAAAAAACCUCCCUUCGAUUCUGGCUAUUUGGCUUCAAUGCAGUCCUUGUUAUCUGGGCAGUGAAGUUAGUGGAUUAGGGAAGUUGGUUGAAUUUAGUAGGGCAACGACCCAAACGGAUCUCAUAUUCUUUGUAUUCCAUUCAUUUGUACAUCUUGAAUAUUUAAGUAACAAGCCUGAAAAUUUGAUGGCAUCUCAUUUAUACAAGCUGUCAAACACUACUUAUUUCCACUCAGUUAGCUCUUUGUACCUCCCUGAAUAAUAUUUCGGCAAAGAUGGUAUUUCAGAAGGCAAAUACCAUAUAAACUCUUGUAAGUUGUUAAAUACUCUUACCUCUUCCACACACAUUACACUGUUUUUCUUUUAUUACUGUCAUUGCAUACAAAUCUUGCCCGGUUAUGAAAGUUCUACAUGUAAUUGUUUUCUAUGUCUUUCAUUAGAAAAUGCAUUUCUGUCUGUUGAUUUAUUCGUGGAUCCUUUUAUGAGAUUGAUAGUAAUAAAUCAAAUAUUCAUUUCAUUUACAAUGAAUGGAAAAUUUAGAGUGGAUUUUGGAUUUCUAGUGUUUAAGGCACUUGUAUAUCUUUCAAAUCAGUUCUUAUUUGUUUUGGAGGAAAAUAAUAUUUUUAUGUACGCACGCAUGAAUAUAAAUGUCAUCAUAUGAAUUCCAAUUUAGGCAUAGUUGUUUGUUUUAAGAUAGUUACAGUAUACUAAAUAAUUUCAGAAUCAUGGUCGGGAACACAAUACUCAUUUUUAAUAAAUGAAGUCUAAUAUCCCUUUUGAUAUUCUAUUUUCCAGACAAAUUGCAUUUUUGUUAUUGACAUGCCUGCUGGUUUUAAGUUCUUUUAUAUUAUCUUAUUCUGGUAAUGUGCUGUAGGUUAACUUGUAGCUCCACUACUCCCUCAUUCUUGAUAUGUCACCUUUAGUACCGUUCAAACCCAUUUGUAUGAAUAAUUAAACAUCUAAGUUAGUUACUGGAUGAUGUGUAGAUUUAACAAUUGGUGUUUUAUGCCUUGGUAGAAUAUGAAGUUAAAUUAGAAUUAACCCUCAAUACCUAUUUCUCAUUGAAGUGGAAAAGGAAAAGCGUUCUUGUCAUGAUCUGGGAAUUUCUUGAAGACUUGAAGUACUUUGAUUUGCAAUUUGGGUCUUGUGUAGUGGAGAGCGGAUGUCUUGAUGUACAGUGAGCACCCUUUUCAGAUUCUGAGGCUGUCUGGAGGGCUUCUUUCGGCACUGGUAUGCACAUGGUUCAAUGAAGUACUUGUGAAAGGAACUCGUUUCUACAUAGUACAGAGGCAGGUUUCGGCUUUCGGACAUGGAUCUUAUUUUCUUAUGCGUAGGAUUGAAGGUGGACAGCUAAGUGCACCCUGUUUAAAGGUAUCCUAUUAUGUUUAUGUUUCCAUUAAAUCUUGUUGAAGGAAGCAAUCUGUUUGUUCGCGGAGCCAAGUUUGGUUGAACUGCAUUGGAGAAAUUGCAUCAGAACUACUGUGAAAGGGUGUAUUGGGAAUAAAUGAACGGGAAGGGAGAGAGCAUAAUUGCAUCGGAAGGCAAAAUUGAGCUUAAAUUUUGUGAUUAUCCAUUGGCAUGAAACGUUUAGUACAUGACCAUGGUGACAUUGCUGUUUCACAUCACAUGGAUAUGAUGUGUUGACUUUCCCGUUGAUUGUUUGCACCGUUCUCUGCUAACAGCGCGAACAAUUUUGACUGAACAACUAUGCAGAUAAAGAGCAUUGUACAGAAAGAGUAAUGCUUCAGAGCUAGGAAAAAAUACCAGAAUUUUGACAGAAUAUGGGUGAUGUGACAGGAAUUAAGGUUGCUGGGUGUAAUAGAGUGGUAAGGAACAUGCCUGCCUAUCACUUAAUUUUGAUAAAAAGGAUUCCAACAUUUUUCUUUUCCUAGCUUCAUUCUUUAUUCCUCUUUGGAAAGCCUAUAGUGGCAAGUUUAAACCGUUAUUCUUAUUAAUAAUUAUUUUUUAAAAUCAUCAAAAGUUCUUAUCAUUUAAAUUAUAUUUUUCUCACCCUGAUUUAUUCCUAGUGGCUUUAGUUUACUGAAGUCUUUGUUAUCAAUAAACCAACAUACUGUAUUUGGAAUACUUUGUGCCUUUCAAGCUUCAUUGAUGAUCCCCUAGAAAAAACACUUCAUUGAUGAUUCCAAAUUUAAGGAACUAAACGCCAUUGCUUGGGUGGGUGGAUAGAGGUAGUCAUUGAUGAUUCCAAUCCAAAUAGUACAACAUUAACUACCGUGUUUUCAAUUAUAAUUUUUGACUAUUUAUUGUAAUAAAUAGACAAAUAGUUACAAUAUGAUAGUGAACAGCCAAGAAUGUCGUCAUAGUUUUGUCAAAAUACAAAAGAGCUCAGAGUAUCAUAUAAAAGAAAACAGUUAGUGUAAUUAAUUUUAUAAAAAAACUGCAAAGUUUCUUCCUAAAAGUCUUUCUUAUAUUCUUUGAACAUGAAAGUAAAGGAUGUGUGAGGGACAAAUAUAUGUUCGAACAUGUGGCAUUGCUUAAUAUUAUUUGAGUGUUUAAUUCUUCAAUCUUUUAACGAACUGUGCCUGUUUGAAUUGACAAAAAUUACAUUUUGAAACUUCAAUAAAAUUAUGGUGUCACAAUGUUUUCAAACAUUAUGCGGAGAUAGCACUUUAGUUACGAAAUUACGAAACAAGUCUAGAGGAACAUCCACCCAUGGCAUAAAGCCAAAGUAAAGCAACAAAAAAAUCGAGCAUAUGGCAAACAAAGUCUAUAGUCUAUACACUAGUAGCAAGAACUAGAAGAUAUGUAUAUUUAUGUGCAGAUUCUUUAAAAUUAUGGCUGAGAUUCACAACCAACGGAGGUUAAGAAGAGUAAUAAUUUCCAGAUUGAGAUUCGCUAGAGUAAAGUUUCACACAAAUUUUACACAGUUUUAAAUUUAGGUCAUUAAUUAUAAAUUAGACAGUGCAAAUUAAUUCUAUUACAACAGGCAUGUUUGAAAUCGGACGGUCGGUCCUUAUAUACGACUAUGUGCAAAAUUACAACAGGCAAUUUUUUCGAUAAUUUCCCAUGAGAGGUUAAAGAAAAGUCGCUUCAGUGAAAAUAUUAAAUUUAUAAUAUAAGAUGAUUCUGCACAAUAUAAAAUACAAAAUUGAGAAGAAAAAAAUACAAUGUCACUCUAAAAUAAUUUAACAUUAUCGACGAAUGUAUGUUGUCACGUCAUUCCACUUGUUUAAUAUGACAAUAAAAUUUUAAAUCAUUCAUGUUGCUUGUUGGUGUAAAAUUAAUUUACACCGACGGUGUGUUUUUAAAGUCUACAAAUUAGGGGUGAUCGUAUUCGAACCAAUCCAAAAGUAAAAUCACAAUCUGAACCAAUCCAAAAGUAAAAUCACAAUCCGAACCAAUCCAAACUGAAACCACAAAAAAUCGCAUUUAGUUUUAACCUCACAGAUCAUUUUUCUUCUAAAUCGCAUGAUUUGAUUUGGUUUGCGGUUUUCAUUUCUUAAAACCGAACCAAACCGUAAUACUUAACUUAGCUCUAUCAACUCAAAUUGAGUCCAUAAAACGCGAUCUAGAACUAUAUUGUUGUUAUUAAAAAUAGGUUACUACAUAUAUGCAAUUUAUGUAUAUGCAUAUUGUAUCAUGUAAACAAUAAAAUAAAUUAAAAUUUUCUAUGUUUAUUUUGUAACAAGUUGAAAAUAUUGUCAUAUUUUUUAUAUCUUGAUAAACCUCACAAACCGAAUUAAUUCUAACCACAUUUGUUUGGUUUGGUUUAGUUUAGAUAACAUUUUAAAAACCAACCAAACUAAACCGAACCACAUACAUUUUUUUUCUUGCGGUUAGUAUGACUACUUUUAUGCUCAAACCAAACCGCACCGCGAACACCCUACUACAAAUUAUGCUGCUUCAUUCAUGCACGGACAUGGAGGUUAUUUUCCUCUUUCCCACCAAAACAGAGAAUUAACAAGACAAAAUGUGACUUCAACUCUUCGCGUUUAAUAUUAACACUCUCAAGUCUCACUGAACCUUGCAGAAACCCAAUGUCAAAGUCCGUUCUCUCUCGAAUCAAACCUCAUCACCUCCCAAAACCUUCACCAUCUUCCUCUUUACCCCCACGCAUCAAAAACCUCGUCAUCGACGUCAUCCAUAUCCUCAAAACCCAUCAAUGGCAAGAUUCUCUUCAAUCCCGUUUCGCCGAAUCCGAUAUCAUCGUUUCCGACGUUGCCCAUUUGGUCAUUGAUCGAAUCCACAACCCUGAACAUGGUUUAAAGUUCUUUAACUGGGCUUCCACAUUACCCUUUUCUACUCCUCUCAAUGGUGUUGCUUAUUCUUCUCUUCUCAACCUCAUGGCAAAGUACAGAGUAUUUUCACAGGUUGAAAUGGUGUUAAACAAUAUGAAAGAUCAAAACUUGAAACCUACUCUUGAAGCAUUGAAUAAUGUUAUUUGUGUUUAUGGUGAAUAUGGGUUGGUUAAUAGAGCACUUGAGAUUUUUCAUAUGGUUUGUGAAUUGUAUAAUUGUUUUCCAUGUGUUGUUGCUAAUAAUUCAUUGCUUAAUUGUUUAGUGAAAAAUGGGAAAGUUGAUGUUGCAUGUCAACUGUAUGAUAAAAUGCUUCAGAAGGGUGACGAGGAUGGUGUCGAUGUUGUUGUUGAUAAUUAUAGUACUUCUAUAGUGGUGAAGGGUUUGUGUGAUCUUGGGAAGGUUGAGGAAGGUAGGAGAUUGAUUAAUGAUAGAUGGGGGAGAGGUUGUGUUCCACAUGUAGUGUUUUAUAAUGUCAUCAUUGAUGGGUAUUGCAAGAUGGGUAAUCUCAAAGGUGCUACGAGAGUUUUCGAGGAACUGAAAUUGAGAGGGUUUUUGCCGACAUUAGAAACUUAUGGUGCUUUGAUUGAUGGAUUUUGUAAGGCUGGGAAGUUUCAAGUAGUUGAUCAGCUUCUGAAAGAAAUGAAUGUGAUGGGAUUGAAGGUUAAUGUACAAGUGUUUAAUAUUAUUAUUGAUGCUCAAUACAAGCAUGGUUUGGUUGAAGAAGCUGCUGAGACGAUGAGAAGGAUGACUGAGAUGGUUUGUGAGCCAGAUAUUACAACUUAUAAUAUUCUGAUUAAUUUUUCAUGUAGUAAUGGAAGGAUUAAAGAAGCUGAAGAGUUCAUAGAGAGGGUGAAAGAAAGGAGAUUGCUGCCUAAUAAGUAUAGUUAUACACCUCUCAUGCAUGCUUACUGUAAACAAGGGGAUUAUGUUAGGGCAUCAGAUAUGCUUUUUAAGAUUGCUGAAACAGGAGAUAAACCGGACUUGGUUUCGUAUGGAGCUUUUAUCCAUGGAAUUAUUGCUGUUGGGGAAAUCGAUGUUGCACUGAUGGUCCGGGAGAAAAUGAUAGAGAAGGGUGUAUUUCCUGAUGCUCAGAUUUACAAUGUUUUGAUGAGUGGUCUCUGCAAGAAAGGAAAAUUUCCUGAUGCCAAACUACUAGUUUCAGAAAUGCUUGACCGAAAUUUACAGCCUGAUGAAUAUGUUUAUGCUACCCUGAUAGACGGGUUUAUUAGAAAUAAUGAACUUGACAAGGCAACACAGCUUUUUGAAGUCGUAAUGAGUAAGGGUAUAGACCCUGGCAUUGUGGGGUAUAAUGUCAUGAUUAAGGGUUUAUGUAAAUUCGGAAAGAUGACUGAUGCUGUAUCAUACUUAAAUAAGAUGAAAAUUGUGCAUCAUUCCCCUGAUGAAUACACUUAUUCCACUGUUAUAGAUGGAUAUGUAAAGCAACAUGACUUAGAUAGUGCACUGAAGAUGUUUGGACAGAUGAUGAAACAGAAAUACAAACCAAAUGUGGUUGCCUACACCUCCUUGAUCAAUGGAUUCUGCAAGAUAGCAGAUAUGAGCAGAGCUGAAAAAGUCUUCAGAGGGAUGCAAUCUCUUAAUUUGGAGCCUAAUGUUGUCACAUACACUACACUUAUCGGUGGUUUUUGCAAGGCCUGUAAAAUCGAAAAAGCAGCAUCCUUUUUUGAGUUAAUGCUGAUGAGAAACUGCCUUCCAAAUGAUACUACAUUCCAUUACCUCAUAAAUGGUUUAACAAAUAUUACAGACAGUACACAUCUUAUCAGAAAAAACAAGGACAGAUCCUUGAUUUUGGAUUUCUUUGUAACGAUGAUAUCAGAAGGAUGGAGUCAAGUGAUUGCCGCAUAUAAUUCUAUUAUUGUUUGUCUUUGUGUACAUGGAAUGGUUGACACUGCCCAAUCCUUGCAAACUAAGAUGACGAGUAAGGGUUUUCUUAUGGAUUCUGUAAGUUUCAGUGCCCUGCUACAUGGCGUAUGUCAAACAGGAAAAUCAAAAGAAUGGAGGAAUAUUAUAUCCGGUGAUCUGAAUAAGAUCGAAUUCCAAACUGCUUUCAAGUACUCCCUGAAAUUAGACAAAUACCUGUAUGAGGGAAGGCUUUCGGAGGCUUCGUUUAUUUUACAGACCCUGAUUGAAGACUCCAUGCUUUCUGAUCAACAAAACAAAGAUCAAAAAGUAACAAGCUAGCAGUAAAGCACGGAGUAAAGAAAUUCCCAAACUUCAUUUGGAAACUCUACGUAGAUAAAGGUUAAUCAACUCAGCAGUCUCAUAUACCUCGUAUAUGAAUCGAGUACAAAAUGAGGUUUCUAUGCUCGGUGACAGCAUGCGUGAAGAGACGAUCCAUGUUAUCUUUUGCCAAGCAUUUUGUGAAGAUAAUGCCAACUUUUUGCCAAGCAUAAAUGUUUACCGAAUGCUUCCAAGUACAGGAGAAAGCUACUUGAUAUGAAUUGCACAGUUGCAAGACAUAGAUACUGGCAUUACAGUUUUUAGUUUCCUCCGAGUGGUAGCAUGAGGGGCUGCUCUGUAUUAUUUAUGUUCAACAUGACACACCCAUACUAAUAUCUUGGCAGCUGCGCCACAUGGCAAAGGAGAUGUUGCAGCUACAGCAACAUCAAUUAAUUUUACAGUCCAAGCAUGGAAUAGGGAUAUGCUACAAAGUCUAGUAAAAGAGGUGUUGGAUUUAGCUCCGCCUUGGCAGCUAAUUGGAUGGUAUGCAUGGAUUCUCAUUUUAAUAAGGAAAUCUAACUGAGAAGGGACCUGUCAAGUUAUUUGACAGCAAGAACUGAGCUAAGAGCAGAGAAUCAGAGUUGGUCUGCUACUCUUUGAGCUCCAGCCAAUACUUGGAUCCUUUGAAGGCAUGCGUGGGAGAGUCGGUCUGCUUUGGUUAAUUAGUAGAGAUGUUAGCUCUUGAUCAUCCCAAUAAGUUUGGUUGGAUUACAUGAUGAAGUAUUCUACUUUGAUUCCAAACACGAAGCAUCUCUUCUGUAUAUUAAGCAUUACUAAUUAAAAGUUUAAGAUAACUUUGAAAUAGUUUGAGUAACAACUUUUUUGUGGUACAAUUUCAGUAUCAACUGUGCUAUCUAUUUUUAUUUUACCAUGUUGUAUUCAAGCUAGAAUUGUUGCGAAAGAUUUCACCAAAAAAAAAAAAGAAUUGUUGCGAAAGCAGCAUAAAUCACUCUUUGUUAUUGUACUUUGUAAUGUAGCAAACUAGAGAACUAGCAAAAUAGAAAACCCUCUGUUUUUAAAACAUUAGCAUCUUUUUUUUCUUUUUUNNNNNNNNNNNNNNNNNNUUUUUGGUUGAAAACGUUAGCACCUUUACUUGGUCGUUUAGUAAUAUUUUACAAAAUUAUAUGGACCACUUGAAAUUUAUGAUCUAUUGUUGAAGACAUGUGAGCUGAUUUGUAUUAAACCCUUUUGAUAAAAGGAUUUAUUACCAUCAACAGGUCAUAAAACUAAAGGAUAUUGUGCAGAAAUCCUUUUGAUAAGAUUUUUUUUUGUUGUUCACUUAUGAUGAAA
RNAcentral lists this long non-coding RNA (44375 nucleotides) under Trifolium pratense (red clover). Its description in RNAcentral is "long non-coding RNA (TPRA_LNC003215)". Lineage: Eukaryota; Viridiplantae; Streptophyta; Magnoliopsida; Fabales; Fabaceae. The record is from RNAcentral.